GAGAGCAUAGCAGCGUCAGAAGAGAGAGAGUGAGAGAGAGAGAAAGAGAGAGAGAGAGAGAUUAUAUAGAUCGUCCUAAAGUAAGAGGGUGAGACAGGUUAUUAAAGAGUGAAAGAAACGAGUGGUGUCUGUACUCUGUAGCGUCUGUUGUGUGUGUGUGUGUGUGUGUUGCAAGAACUAGAAGAGCCUCUAGGCUUGUAGACACGGUCGGAGCGUCAUGGAUGUUGAUUCAUUCAAGAAAUUUUGACUUGCUUAAUAAGUUACAACACUGUUUGUGCCUUACAUUUGUUUUUAUCUCUUUUGGGUCUCUCACUGCUGCUGCCAUUUUUUUAGACUAGUAUAUUAUGCUUUCUUGGUCUUGUAUCUUUUGAGUUUCAUUGCAACAUUGUGUGUUCGGCUUAUUCGUUUUUGAGAUGCUACCUCUGUCCUCUUUGUAUUUUGUGUCAAAUUUUGAUCAUAGAUUGAACUAACAAAAUGUUUAUGCAUGUCAUUAAAAAUUAAAAAAAUAUAACUUUUUUUGUUUUAUUUCUCAAAUGCUCUGCGCGAUCCCAUUGAGUAGGGCACCUUUCCCAGCCUGCCCUUUCCUUUUCGCUUCGCUAGCAAUUAAUUCCCUUAAUUGAGGCAACUUCCUAGUUUGCAUGCAGGGACAUAAGGCCACUUUCAAUGCAUUGGUGCUUAGAUAAAGUAUUAAGAAUAUUAAAAAGUUUAGCAACUAAGACUAGACAUAAUGGGGACUAACUUAAAGUAAUAAUAUGCAUAUGUUAUUAAUCUAUGUUACUAUCUUCACAGUGGGUUAUAAAAUAUGUGUUAUGCAAUGCAUCACUUCAUUUAUUAGGUUGUAGACUUAUCUUUUUUUUAUAUGUGUGAUAUUACAGUAACUAGCUAUGUUACCACAACUACAUACCUCCCUUUCUUCAUUAAAUACAUGGCACAUCACCUAUUUUACCUAGAUAAGCGUGAUGUUAUCACCUAUGUUACUCCCACUAUGGGUAGUCUAAUGUCCAUAAUGCAUAGGUGCUUUACUUGUUGGUGCUAAGCUCCCCUCGUUUCAUGCAUUGGUGGGUUUCUUUCAUUUAAUUGCUUUUGCCUAGGUUCAUGUGCUUGGCAUUGGUUUUUUCUGGGAUCACCAAACUCAUCUCUCUCCUCUUUAUUACUUUGUCACAUCAGAUUUUUUUACCUACAUGGUAGCCUUAGCACAUGUACAAGAUGAAACAUUGGGGAGGUCCUAAGUGGAGGAGAGAGAGAGAUUACGUGUGACAUGCAUGGAGGGAUUCGAGGCAACUAGUACUCCAACCCACGCAAAAGUAGGGGCAAACUUUUUUCUUUGCGAGAUAAACUUCCGUCUAUCAUCUUCAAUCAUGAUAGUACAUCAAACACUAGAAAUGAUAAAAAUUACAUUCAAGAUCCGUAGACCACCUAGCGACAACUACAAGCACUGAAGCGAGCCGAAGGCGCGCCGCUGUCAUCGCCCUUCCCUCGCUGGAGACGGGUAAACCUUGUUCUAGUAGACAGUUGGAAAGUCGUCGUACUAAGGCCCCGUAGAACCAACACCAGAACAGCAACCGUUGCCGAUGAAGAGUGUAGAUAAGAAGGAUCCAACCUGAAGACACACGAACAAAGACGGACGCCGAACAGAUCCGAGCAAAUCCACCAGAGACAGAUCCACCUGAGACACACCUCCACACGCCCACCGAUGAUGCUAGACGCAUCACUGGAACGGAGACUAGGCGGAGAGACCUUUAUGUUGGGGAACGUAGUAAUUUCAAAAUUUUCCUACGCACAUGCAAGAUCAUGGUGAUGCAUAGCAACGAGAGGAGAGUGUUGUCCACGUACCAUCGUAGACCGAAAGCGGAAGCGUUAGCACAACGCGGUUGAUGUAGUCGUACGUCUUCACGGCCUGACCGAUCAAGCACCGAAACUACGGCACCUCCGAGUUCUAGCACACGUUCAGCUCGAUGACGAUCCCCAGACUCCGAUCCAGCAGAAUGUCGGGGAAGAGUUCCGUCAGCACGACGACGUGGUAACGAUCUUGAUGUUCUACUGUCGCAGGGCUUCGCCUAAGCACCACUACAAUAUUAUCGAGGACUAUGGUGGAGGGGGGCACCGCACACGGCUAAGAGAUCAAUGAUCAACUGUUGUGUCUAUGGGGUGCCCCCUGCCCCCGUAUAUAAAAGAGCAAGGGAGGGAGGCGGCCGGCCUAGGAGGAGGGCGCGCCAAGGGGGGAGUCCUACUCCCACCGGGAGUAGGACUCCUCCUUCCCUUGUUGGAGUAGGAGAGAAGGAAAGAGGGGGAGAGGAACAAGGAAAAGUGGGCUGCACCCCUUGUCCAAUUCGGACCAGAGGGGGGGGGGGGCGCCUCCUUCCUUUUGGCCUCUCUUCUCUAUUCCGAGUGGUUGCUACGAACACUAGUAAAAUACACAUCAAUAAUACCGAGUGGUUGCUACGAACACUAGUAAAAUACACAUCAAUAAUAUGUAUAUCAAAUAUACCUUUGUUCACUUUGCCAUCCUUCUUAUCCGCCAAAUACUUGGGGCAGUCCGCUUCCAGUGACCAGUCCCUUUGCAGUAGAAGCACUUAGUCUCAGGUUUAGGUCCAAACUUGGGCUUCUUCACUUGAGAAACAACUUGCUUGCCGUUCUUCUUGAAGUUCCCCUUCUUCCCUUUGCCCUUUUCUUGAAACUAGUGGUCUUCUUAACCAUCAACACUUGAUGUUUUUCUUGAUUUCUACCUUCGUUGAUUUCAGCAUCACGAAGAGCUUGGAAUCGUUUCCGUUAUCCCUUGCAUAUUGUAGUUCAUCACGAAGUUCUACUAACUUGGUGAUGGUGACUAGAGAAUUCUGUCAAUCACUAUCUUAUCUGGAAGAUUAACUCCCACCUGAUUCAAGCGAUUGUAGUAUCCAGACAAUCUGAGCACAUGCUCACUAGUUGAGCGAUUCUCCUCCAUCUUUUAGCUAUAGAACUUGUUGGAGACUUCAUAUCUCCCAACUCGGGUAUUUGCUUGAAAUAUUAACUUCAACUCCUGGAACAUCACAUAUGUUUCAUGACGUUAAAAAACGCCUUUGAAGUCCCGAUUCUAAGCCGUAAAGCAUGAUGCACUAAACUAUCAAGUAGUCAUCAUAUUGAGCUAGCCAAACGUUUAGAACGUCUGCAUCUGCUCCUGCAAUAGGUCUGUCACCUAGCGGUGCAUCAAGGACAUAAUUCUUCUAUGCAGCAAUGAGGAUAAUCCUCAGAUCACGGAUCCAAUCCGCAUCAUUGCUACUAACAUUUUUCAACUUAGUUUUCUCUAGGAACAUAUAAAAAUUAAAUGGGGAGCAACAUCGCGAGCUAUUGAUCUACAACAUAGAUAUGCUAAUACUAUCAGGACUAAGUUCAUGAUAAAUUAAAGUUCAAUUAAACAUAUUACUUAAGAACUCCCACUAAGAUAGACAUCCCUCUAAUCAUCUAAGUGAUCACGUGAUGCAAAUCAACUAAACCAUAACCGAUCAUCACGUGAAAUGGAAUAGCUUUCAAUGGUGAACAUCAUUAUGUUGAUCAUAUCUACUAUAUGAUUCACGCUCGACCUUUCGGUCUCAGUGUUCCGAGGCCAUAUCUGCAUAUGCUAGGCUCGUCAAGUUUAACCUGAGUAUUCUGCGUGUGCAAAACUGGCUUGCACCCAUUGCAGAUGGACAUAGAGCUUAUCACACCCGAUCAUCACGUGGUGUCUGGGCACGACGAAUUUUGGCAACGGUGCAUACUCAUGGAGAACACUUUUAUCUUGAAAUUUAGUGAGAGAUCAUCUUAUAAUGCUACCGUCAAACAAAGCAAGAUAAGAUGCAUAAAAUAUAAACAUCACAUGCAAUCAAUAUAAGUGAUAUGAUAUGGCCAUCAUCAUCUUGUGCUUGCGAUCUCCAUCUCCGAAGCACCGUCAUGAUCACCAUCGUCACCGGCGCGACACCUUGAUCACCAUCGUAGCAUCGUUGUCGUCUCGCAAAUCUUAUGUUUCCAUGACUAUCGCUACCGCUUAGUGAUAAAGUAAAGCAUUACAGCGCAAUUGCAUUGCAUACAAUAAAGCGACAACCAUAUGGCUCCUGCCAGUUGCCGAUAACUCGGUUACAAAACAUGAUCAUCUCAUACAAUAAAAUUUAGCAUCAUGUCUUGACCAUAUCACAUCACAACAUGCCCUGCAAAAACAAGUUAGACGUCCUCUACUUUGUUGCUGCAAAUUUUACGUGGCUGCUACGGGCUGAGCAAGAACCGUUCUUACCUACGCAUCAAAACCACAACGAUAGUUUGUCAAGUUGGUGCUGUUUUAAUCUUCGCAAGGAUCGGGCGUAGCCACACUCGGUUCAACUAAAGUUGGAGAAACUGACACCCGCCAGCCACCUGUGUGCAAAGCAUGUCGGUAGAACCAGUCUCGCGUAAGCGUACGCGUAAUGUCGGUUCGGGCUGCUUCAUCCAACAAUAUCGCCGAACCAAAGUGUGACAUGCUGGUAAGCAGUAUGACUUAUAUCACCCACAACUCACUUGUGUUCUACUCGUGCACAACAUCAACGCAUAAAACCUAGGCUCGGAUGCCAUUGUUGGGGAACAUAGUAAUUUCAAAAUUUUCCUACGCACACGUAAGAUCAUGGUGAUGCAUAGCAACGAGAAGGGAGAGUGUUGUCCACGUACCCUCGUAGACCGAAAGCGGAAGCGUUAGCACAACGCGGUUGAUGUAGUUGUACGUCUUCACGGCCCGACCGAUCAAGCACCGAAACUACGGCACCUCCGAGUUCUAGCACACGUUCAGUUCGAUGACGAUCCCCAGACUCCGAUCCAGCAGAAUGUCGGGGAAGAGUUCCGUCAGCACGACGGCAUGGUGACGAUCUUGAUGUUCUACUGUCGCAGGGCUUCGCCUAAGCACCACUACAAUAUUAUCGAGGACUAUGGUGGAGGGGGGCACCGCACACGGCUAAGAGAUCAAUGAUCAACUGUUGUGUCUAUGGGGUGCCCCCCUGCCCCCAUAUAUAAAGGAGCAAGGGAGGGAGGCGGCCGGCCUAGGAGGAGGGCGCGCCAAGGGGGGAGUCCUACUCCCACCGGGAGUAGGACUCCUUCUUCCCUUGUUCGAGUAGAGUGAAGGAAAGAGGGGGGAGGAACAAGGAAAAGUGGGCUGCACCCCUUGUCCAAUUCGGACCAGAGAGGGGGCGCGCGCCUCCUUCCUUUUGGCCUCUCUUCUCUAUUCCCGUAUAGCCCAAUAAGGCCCAUAUACUCCCCGGCGAAUUCCGUAACUCUCCGGUACUCCGAAAAAUACCCGAAUCACUCGGAACCUUUCCGAUGUCUGAAUAUAGUCGUCCAAUAUAUCGAUCUUUACGUCUCGACCAUUUCGAGACUCCUCGUCAUGUCCCCGAUCUCAUCCGGGACUCCGAACUCCUUCGGUACGUCAAAACUCAUAAACUCAUAAUAUAACUGUCAUCGAAACCUUAAGCGUGCGGACCCUAUGGGUUCAAGAACAAUGUAGACAUGACCGAGACACGUCUCUGGUAAAUAACCAAUAGCGGAACCUGGAUGCUCAUAUUGGCUCCCACAUAUUCUACGAAGAUCUUUAUCGGUCAGACCGCAUAACAACAUACACUGUUCCCUUUGUCAUCGGUAUGUUACUUGCCCGAGAUUCGAUCGUCGGUAUCUCAAUACCUAGUUCAAUAUCAUUACCAGAAAGUCUCUUUACUCGUUCCGUAAUACAUCAUCCUGCAACUAACUCAUUAGUUGCAAUGCUUGCAAGGCUUAAGUGAUGUGCAUUACCGAGAGGGCCCAGAGAUACCUCUCCGACAAUCGGAGUGACAAAUCCUAAUCUCGAAAUACGCCAACCCAACAAGUACCUUCGGAGACACCUGUAGAGCACCUUUAUAAUCACCCAGUUACGUUGUGACGUUUGGUAGCACACAAAGUGUUCCUCCGGUAAACAAGAGUUGCAUAAUCUCAUAGUCAUAGGAACAUGUAUAAGUCAUGAAGAAAGUAAUAGUAACAAACUAAACGAUCAAGUGCUAUGCUAAUGGAAUGGGUCAAGUCAAUCACAUCAUUCUCCUAAUGAUGUGAUCCCGUUAAUCAAAUGACAACUCAUGUCUAUGGUUAGAAAACAUAACCAUCUUUGAUCAACGAGCUAGUCAAGUAGAGGCAUACUAGUGACACUCUGUUUGUCUAUGUAUUCACACAUGUAUUAUGUUUCCGGUUAAUACAAUUCUAGCAUGAAUAAUAAACAUUUAUCAUGAUAUAAGGAAAUAAAUAAUAACUUUAUUAUUGCCUCUAGGGCAUAUUUCCUUCACUUUAUUCCAUCUGCAGGGAGUAGCCGCCGUCUUGCCUUCCUGAGUAGGACACAAACCCUAACAAAUCUCUAAAAAGGAUCUAAAAAGGAGCCCUCCCACCGGCAAGGGCCGGGAUCCACUCCGUCCCCAUGGCCCUAAGGCCAUGGUAGACGGGGCGGACUGACGCCAGGGCGGGCGGGAGGCAGAGAAACCCUACUUUUUUGGGUAGGAGGCGGCUUGAUGUGACUUCUCGUAAAACAAUAGAAUUUCGAACGGGCCUCUCCUUGGUACGCGAGCGACGAGUUAUGCGCAAAGUAAAAAAGAACAAAGAGAGUAUCAUUGGCAAGGGUUCGCAAGUGUUGUUCUGGAGGGAUCAUUGGACCAAUGGAUCUAACGUCAGCGAGAUCGCGCCACUCCUCAUUCGCAAAGUCAGGAAACAAGUGGUGAAUAGGAGGAAGGUCAAUGAAGCGCUUCACUUCGAUGCUUGGACCCAGGAUAUUAUGGGUGAAUUGAACACGGAGGAGCUGCUCCAGUUCAUAAGAAUGUGGGAGAUAAUGCUCCAAAUGGAGUUGAGGCCAAACAUGGAGGACGUCUUGAUCUGGCAGUGGGAGAUUAGCGGCACUUAUUCGGCAAAAUCGGCCUACAAGAUGAUGUGCCAUGGAGGCAUUCGGUUUCAAUUCGCUUCGGCAGUUUGGCGAUGUUGGGCUACGCUAAUGUGUAAGAUCUUCAUGUGGCUAGCCCUAUAACAUAGGAUUUGGACAUCUGACCAUAGGCACAGACACGGAAUGCAAGAGCAUAGUUCGCCUUGCUUUCUGUGUAAGCAGGAGGAGGACACGGUGGAGCACCUUCUCAUACAAUGUGUGUAUGCCAGGCAAGUAUGGUUUCCCUGUUUCAGGAGACUUGGCAUCGACACUGAGCUCACGCCUACCAGGGAUCAUACAUUGGGUGAUUGGUGGAUGGCCUCCAGGAAGCGCAUCAACAAGAGAGAUCGCAAAGGUUUCGAUACCCUUUGCACGUCAGCAUAUAGGAACAUUUGGAAACAGAGGAACGAUAGAGUCUUUCGCGACAGCACCACGGCCUUUGAAGUGGACGUAGCCGAGGCAGUUCACAAGGAAUUAUUUCUGUGGGCAGCAGCGCGAGGAAGAGGAGAACACAACGUCAUAGAGUUCUUUCUCUUCUAUAAAGCCAAGGUAUGCAUUUUGCGUACUCUUAAAAAAAUAUGAGGGGAUUAGUAAAUCAGAACGAGGGUAGUACAAUAUACCUAAAGCUGGUGCGCUCACGCCGUGGCAUCAGCUUAUGGGAGUAGCGUAAUUCAGGUGCAUGCAUGUAGGCAUAACUGAGAUUUUUUUUCCCGUAGGAUUCAGCGAGGCAUAAUCUAAUCUUGUUCUGGGAUGUUCCCCCUUGUUUCUAUGUUGGACGGGAAUGCCCGGUUUGGAAGAUCCAAAAGAGGAGGAGGAUUCAGCGCAUUCUCGCCGUGGCCUAGGCAAAAUCUUCUUCUGGUCCUUGUUUCUUGGAUGGGGAGUGCCCGUUUGGAAAGAUCCAAAGGCGGGGAGGACGGCAGGGUGUGCAGGAUGCUCGUCUUGCCAUAUUUUCCCAAUGAAUUAACAAGUGCUCCCACACGCUUUCAGAAGAUCUCUCUCCGUAAUUAGACUUGGACCAGGCGUGGUUGCCCUAGACUAGUGCAGAUAUCAUGAGCUCAGUCACUCACCCCCCGACGCGGGAUCAGAAUCAGAUCAAGCCACGAACCAGUUCACACCGCCUGUCUCGACGAUAAGACGACGCCGACGUGGGUGGUGCGUGGUACUACUACUCACAAAGAUAGCCAUCGACGUCCCUUCGCGCCCAAGGAAGACCCGAAUGAGUAAACCAAGUCCGGGUCUUCAAGUCAGUCUCCUCGGCUGCGUCUGCGUGCGUGCCUUUAAUUUUUUGUCAUCUCUUGUACGGCACACGAGCAGACCACGCGCAUGCAGCAAACUCAAGACUUGUUUAGCGCAGGGAUUAAUUAAUUCGUCAGAGGGCACGGGCGGAUCCUACACGUCUUCGAGCCCGUCAGUUGCUUUCACUUUUGCCUCUUUCAGGGAUUUUUGUUCCUGUGAAUAUGAAUAAUGGCCUGCUCCGGUGCCCAAAAGCUAUGUACUGAACCUCACACUGAUUUCUACUAAUGGUAAUAGCCUAAUAGGAGCAAUGCUUAUAUUUCUCUACGAAAAGGAAGAGGCCGAUCGAAGAAGCGAUCGUGCGUGCCAGCUUUGCUUAUGCGCACUCGCCCCGGAACAUUUUCCUCCCUUAGCUAGCGAGAGGUUUAAUAUUCCGCCUGGCGGGCGCGCGGAUUUUAUUCCGGAACAAAAUAUCCUCAAUCUGUCGUGUCAUCCUAUCUGGUCGAAAUGCAAGCCGAGAAAUUCUGCACCGAUGGACGGCUGCUUACACGUAUAGUGCUCGGAGUUAAUUAAGAAGCCCGGGUUUCUUUUCGCUGCACCAGCCGGAUAUGUUGAUCUUUCAGCGAGUAGCAUCAGGAUGAUAUGUCGGCUCAGUCUUUCAGAGAUGUUCAUAGAGAUAGGAUAUGCGUGUGUAUGCGUUCAUAAAGGUGAGUAUAUGCGUGGCGCGUUGGCCCUGGACAAGGCGCCCGGUCGACGGCGGCCCCGGGACCUGGCGAUGGUGUGCCGGCUGCUGUGGCUGUUGGGGCAGCGCGGCAGCUGGACCUGGUGGUGCUCGAUGGUGGUUUGGCCACGGCGGCUCGCUCGGAUCUGGCGUCAUGGCCAUGGGAUGGGCGGCUAGGUGGUGGUCGGGUGGAGCGUGCGCAGCGCGGGGGCUGGCAGCACGGCAGCUGGCACGAAGGCUGCGCGUGGCCACCGGGUCGGCCUGCUCUGGUUCGGCCGGAUCUAGCCAGCGGGCUGCGGGCGGCGCGUGGGAUCAUGUCGGUGCUCCGGGGAUGGUACGCUGGGACGGAGGCGCGACGAGGUGGAUGGCCGGGCAUCAUGGCUGGUUGUGCCGCGGUGUCCGGGCGGCGCUGCAUUCCCUGGCCGUGAGGGCGGCGGGGCUAUAGCGGGUUGAUGCAGGCCUUGGUCUUCCCCGACAGGGGGCUGCAAUGGACUCGUCGGUUGGCGGCGUGACGACAUCCGGCUCCUCCCCUCUCCGCAGUGAUGGCCCAAGGUGGUUGCCCUCCCUUCUAGUUUGCUACGCUCGGACGUUGAUGGACAUGGCCAAGGAGAAAUCCAGCGCGGCUGCGGCUGCGGGCAACGGCGACGCUUGUUGACGCCGUCUCCUCCCUGGGGGCAUUGUCAUGGCUGAAGAAAUAUGCCCUAGAGGCAAUAAUAAAGUUAUUAUUUAUUUCCUUAUAUCAUGAUAAAUGUUUAUUAUUCAUGCUAUAAUUGUAUUAACCGGAAACAUAAUACAUGUGUGAAUACAUAGACAAACAGAGUGUCACUAGUAUGCCUCUACUUGACUAGCUCGUUGAUCAAAGAUGGUUAUGUUUCCUAACCAUAGACAUGAAUUGUCAUUUGAUUAACGGGAUCACAUCAUUAUGAGAAUGAUGUGAUUUACUUGACCCAUUCCGUUAGCAUAGCACUUGAUCGUUUAGUUUGUUGCUAUUGCUUUCUUCAUGUCUUAUACAUGUUCCUAUGACUAUGAGAUUAUGCAACUCCCGUUUGCCGGAGGAACACUUUGUGUGCUACCAAACGUCACAACGUAACUGGGUGAUUAUAAAGGAGCUCUACAGGUGUCUCCAAAGGUACAUGUUGGGUUGGCAUAUUUCGAGAUUAAGAUUUGUCACUCCGAAUGUCGGAGAGGUAUCUCUGGGCCCUCUCGGUAAUGCACAUCACAUAAGCCUUGCAAGCAUUGCAACUAAUGAGUUAGUUGCGAGAUGAUGUAUUACAAAACGAGUAAAGAGACUUGCCGGUAACGAGAUUGAACUAGGUAUUGAGAUACCGACGAUCGAAUCUCGGGCAAGUAACAUACCGAUGACAAAGGGAACAACGUAUGUUGUUAUGCGGUCUGACCGAUAAAGAUCUUCGUAGAAUAUGUGAGAGCCAAUAUGAGCAUUCAGGUUCCGCUAUUGGUUAUUGACCGGAGACGUUCUCGGUCAUGUCUACAUUGUUCUCGAACCCAUAGGGUCCGCACGCUUAAGGUUUCGAUGACAGUUAUAUUAUGAGUUUAUGAGUUUUGAUGUACCGAAGGAGUUCGGAGUCCCGGAUGAGAUCGGGGACAUGACGAGGAGUCUCAAAAUGGUCGAGACGUAAAGAUCAAUAUAUUGGACGACUAUAUUCGGACAUCGGAAAGGUUCUGAGUGAUUCGGGUAUUUUCGGAGGUACCGGGGAGUUACCGGAAUACGAGGAAGAAGCAAUGGGCCUUAGUGGGCCUUAGUGGGAAGGACCAGGAGGUGGCGCGCGCCCUUCCCAAGCCCAGUCCGAAUUGGACAAGGGGUUUGGGGCGCGGCCCCUCUCUCCCUUCCUUCCCCUCUUCCCCCUUCCCCCCCUUCUCCUAGUUGGACUAGGAAAGGAGGAAACCUCCUAGGGCUGGCCUCCUUCCCCUUGCUCCUUUAUAUACGGGGGCAGGGGGGCACCUCUAGAAACACAAGUUGAUCCUCGUGAUCGUUUUCUUAGCCGUGUGCGGUGCCCCCUUCCACCAUACUCCUCGAUAAUAUUGUAGUGGUGCUUAGGCGAAGCCCUGCGUCGGUAGAACAUCAAGAUCGUCACGACGCCGUCGUGCUGAUGGAAUUCUUCCCCGACACUUUGCUGGAUCGGAGUCCGUGGAUCAUGAUCGAGCUGAACGUGUGCUAAAACUCGAAGGUGCCGUAGUUUCGGUGCUUGAUCGGUUGGGUCGUGAAGAUGUACGACUACAUCAACCACGUUGUUAUAACGCUUCCGCUUUCGGUCUACGAGGAUACGUAGAUUACACUCUCCCCUCUCGUUGCUAUGCAACACCAUGAUCUUGCGUGUGCGUGGGAAAAUUUUGAAAUUACUACGUUCCCCAACAGUGGCAUCCGAGCCUAGGUUUUAUGUGUUGAUGUUAUAUGCACGAGUAGAACACAAGUGAGUUGUGGGCGAUAUAAGUCAUACUGCUUACCAGCAUGUCAUACUUUGGUUCGGCGGUAUUGUUGGAUGAAGCGGCCCGGACCGACACUAUGCGUACGCUUACACGAGACUAAUUCUACCGACGUGCUUUGCACAUAGGUGGCUGGCGGGUGUCAGUUUCUCCAACUUUAGUUGAACCGAGUGUGGCUACGCCCGGUCCCUGCGAAGGUUAAAACAACACCAACUUGACAAACUAUCGUUGUGGUUUUGAUGCGUAGGUAAGAUUGGUUCUUGCUUAAGCCCGUAGCAGCCACAUAAAACUUGCAACAACAAAGUAGAGGACGUCUAACUUGUUUUUGCAGGGCAUGUUGUGAUGUGAUAUGGUCAAGACAUGAUGCUAAAUUUUAUUGUAUGAGAUGAUCAUGUUUUGUAACCAAGUUAUCGGCAACUGGCAGGAGCCAUAUGGUUGUCGCUGAUGAAGCUAUGGACCUAGGGUAGGGUCAUGGACCUGUCCUAACUGCCCUACCCAAGGACAUCUCUAGAAGGAAUCGCCUUUCAAUCGACUUGAAGGUGUCCCACUCGACAGACUCGAAGACACUCGACCAAGAAGCAAUCGCUCGACCAAGACCCAACCACUCGACGGCCAGGAGACCUAAAGGCGCCCGCACGCUAACGGUCGGUCAUUAAGUAGCUUUUAUGAUCAUCAUAGCACUUUAUUACUAGCGCUACCAAAAACGCCCUGCUUUAAUGUACAUUGAACCCUUCGUAACGUGGGCUGGCCGGGGUCCUGGCGCACUCUAUAUAAGCCACCCCCUCCUCCGAGACAAGGGUUCGCACCUCUGUAACUCAUACACACAUAAUCCAGUCGAUCGCCUCUGGGCUCCGAGACGUAGGGCUUUUACUUCCUCCGAGAAGGGCCUGAACUCGUAAACCCUGCGUCCUUACAACCUCUCCAUAGCUAAGACCUCGCCUCUCCAUACUUACCCCCUACAUUACUGUCAGACUUAGGACCACGACAGUUGGCGCCCACCAUGGGGAAGUGUUUUAGCGUUUUGUUGGAGGAGUUGCGAUCUUUUCCGACCCGAAUCAUCAUGGUUUUCGACGGAGUUUUGGUGGAGAGCCGCGAGAUCCGUCUCGGCGUGCUCACGUUCAUCGCCGACGACUCCGCCUGGCUUCAGGAGGCUCCGCUCGACGUGGACGCACUCCCUGUCCGCGGGGCAACGCACUUUAGCGCAUGCGUCCGCGGUGUUCUCCUGCGGCAACCGUCGACCCCCUACCGGUCGACUCCUGCGUUGUCCUCCCUCCCCGUUUCCCGCCGACGCAAGCGCUCCGGUCGGUCGAGACUUCAGCGGUGGGUGAGACACGCGGUGGCCCGUCAGUCGGCCAUCCCUCAAGUCGCGGCGAUCGAGCCCGAUGAAUCCCUCUACGGCCUGUUCGACUGGCUCCGAAGAGACUGCAUCCGAGUGCGACAGCAGCGAUCCGGCGGCAGAGGUUCUGAUGGUCGACGGACCGCCCAGUCCCCCCGGUUUUACCCGCACCGACGGAGGCGCGGGAGGAGGCGACCCGUCGCGUCCCCAUGAGGAGUAUCUUCCCGAGCCUCUCACGUCGCUGCAGAGAGAAGAACUUCGCCGCCAGAAUGUGGAUGCGCUGCACACUUCUAUCGUUGGAGAAACCUCCGAGGCUCGCGCCUUGGAGGAAGCGCGCCUGGCAAACUUGGCCGAGCGCACUCGACUGGAGAACCUCCAGCGAGCACUCGACGAGCGGGCGCGACAACGGGUUCCGGAAUCCAGUCGAUGUCAGCUCUUCCUGCCCCCGCGGGUAUAUCGGACUCCGAUUCAGAAUUUAGCAGCUGCGGCCCGUAUAGCGGAGUCGAUUCAGCCUUCCCAGUCGGAGGCUGGCAGAGGCUUGUUGUAGAUCAGAGCGUUACUCCGGGUAGCAGGAGAUCAGAAUUCCGCUGUUUCUCAGUCGCGAAACAGAAUUCACAGCAGAUCCGUUGCUGCGGACACAGUCCAGUCGACUCACAGCCCGAGAUCGCCCCCGAGGCGUGAGGGACGUGGAGACCGGCGUGACCAGUAUGGGAACCAUGAGCAGUAUGAUCACCGAGUCGACCGUGACGGUCGACAUCGAGUGCCCACACCUCCCCCGAGGAGCGGGUCGUAUGUGCCUCGCCAGCAGGAUGACAGGCGCCCUCAUAGUGGUGGGCGAAGGAUUCCAGUCGACCCCAGAGGGCCAGGCUUUGACGCGAGAUCCAUCCUCGUCCAAGGUCUGGUCAACAAGAACAGGGCUCACCAAGAAGGCCAUGACAGAGAUGCGCCAGCCAGCAGCAGAGUACAUGUUUCGGGGCCAGAAUGCUUUAGUAGAGCCAUCAGGGCAGCUGUGAUUCCUCCCAACUUCAGGUUGGCGGCUGGAGUCAGUAAGUUCACUGGCGAGUCCAAGCCCGAUACUUGGCUUGAAGAUUACCGAGUGGUCAUCCAGAUUGGCGGCGGCAAUGAUGAAGUGGCCAUGAAGCACCUGCCUCUCAUGUUGGAGGGCUCGGCUAGAGCGUGGCUGAACCAGUUAGCGCCUAGCAGCAUUUACACUUGGGAGGAUCUCUCCCGAGUGUUCGUCACCACAUUUGAAGGCACAUGCAAGCAACCGGCGGGAUUGACGGAACUGCGGUCCUGUGUGCAAAAGCCGAAUGAAACUUUGAGGGAUUACAUCCAGAGAUGGAUCACGUUACAUCACUCGGUGGAGAAUGUGCCUGACCACCAAGCAGUUUGUGCCUUCAAGGAAGGCAUCAAAUACAGAGAACUGAAUUUGAAAUUCGGUCGAACCGGAGAUAUGUCCCUGAAUCGGAUGAUGAAGAUUGCCACCAAGUACGCUAACGGCGAAGAUGAGGAUCGACUCAGGAGUGGCAAACUCAAGUCAGUCGCCCAAGAAACCGGAGGCAAUUCCAGUCGGAAACAGAAGCGGAAAGCCGAGCCAGCGGCUCCCGGGGAAGCCUUAGCUUUGGCCCAAGGAAAGUCUAAAGGGAAACCUAAAGAGCCUUGGAACCCCAAAAAGGUUAAAGACCAGGAGGGAAAUGAUGUGUUGGACUUACCGUGUCUUGUCCACACGAAGAAAGAUGAAGAGGGUAAUUUUAUUUACCCGAAACAUACCACUCGGCAGUGUCAACUCUUGAUCCAGCAGUUCCAGGGCAAGCAGCCCAAGGGUAAGGAAAAGGAGUCAGACAAGGUUGAAGACAAAGAGGACAGUGAUGACGGAUACCCUCAAGUCAAUUCCACCCUGAUGAUUUUUGCUGAUGUUGAGAGCAAAAGUCAACUGAAAGUUAUUAACCGAGAGGUGAACAUGGUCGCUCCGGCGACACCUAGUUACCUGAAAUGGUCUCAGACUGCCAUAACGUUCGACCAGUCCGACCACCUAACGCACAUCGCCACCCCUGGGAGGCAAGCUUUGGUGGUCGAUCCAGUUGUUGAAGGCACUCGACUGACCAAAGUCCUGAUGGAUGGUGGCAGUGGUUUGAACAUAUUAUACGCUGAGACGUUGAAGGGGAUGGGCAUUCCGAUGUCCAGACUCAGUGCCAGCAACAUGAGUUUCCAUGGAGUCAUUCCUGGGAAGAAGGCUGAAUCACUCGGCCAGAUUGCUCUUGAUGUGGUUUUCGGUGAUUCCAAGAAUUACCGCAAAGAAAGAUUGACAUUUGAAGUUGUAGACUUCCAGAGUGCCUAUCACACUAUUUUGGGCAGGCCGGCUUAUGCACGCUUCAUGGCCCGACCAUGUUACGUGUAUCUCAAAUUGAAGAUGCCUGGCCCCAAAGGUGUGAUCACCAUUACGGGCAAUCGGAAGAAAGCGGAAGAAUGUUUUCAGAAGGGUUCGAAGAUCGCCGACGCACAGAUGGCAGUGGUGGAGUUGCAGGAAUACCAGAAGACUGCAGACCCGAGUGAUCUGUUGUGAGCCAAGAAGCUCGCUACAGAAUCAGCUUUCCAAUCGACUGGCGACACGAAGACAGCUCACAUCCACCCGACCGACCCCAGCGCCGCCCUGACUCAUAUCUCGACAACACUCGACUCCAAAUAGGAAGAAGCGCUCAUCCAGUUCCUCCGUGAGAACUGGGACAUCUUCGCGUGGAAACCUUCUGACAUGCCAGGUGUUCCCAAGGAGCUGGCUGAGCAGCGCCUGAGAGUCGACUCAAAAGUAAAACCUGUCAAGGAACAUCUUCGACGGUCCGCCGUCCAAAAAAGAAAAGCUAUUGGCGAAGAGGUGGCUCGGCUCUUAGCAGCGGAGUUCAUCCGAGAGAUCUACCACUCCGAGUGGCUCGCCAAUGUUGUCAUGGUCCCCAAGAAGGACAAGUCACUUCGCAUGUGCAUUGACUUUAAACAUAUCAAUCGGGCCUGCCCGAAAGAUCAUUUUCCUCUCCCCUGCAUCGACCAGAUAGUCGACUCGACUGCGGGAUGUGAGCGGCUGUCUUUCUUAGACGCCUAUUCCGGGUGCCAUCAGAUCCGUCUGUAUGGACCUGACGAGAUCAAGACAGCUUUCAUCACUCCAUUCGGGUGCUUCUGUUAUGUUACCAUGCCGUUCGGCCUCAAGAAUGCCGGAGCCACAUUCAUGAGUAUGAUUCAGAAGUGUUUACUCACUCAAAUCAGUCGGAACGUGGAAGCAUACAUGGAUGAUAUUGUGGUCAAGUCACGGAAGGGUUCUGACCUACUGACUGACCUUGCUGAAACCUUUGCCAACCUCAGGAGGUAUGAUAUCAAGCUUAAUCCAUCAAAGUGUACAUUCGGAGUCCCUGGCGGAAAGUUACUCGGCUUUCUCAUUUCCGAACGGGGAAUCGAUGCCAAUCCAGAAAAAGUUGGCACUAUACUCCGAAUGAAAAGCCCUGUGCGAGUGCACGACGUCCAGAAGCUUACUGGUUGUUUGGCCGCCCUAAGUCGAUUCAUAUCUCGUCUCGGUGAAAAGGCAUUACCUCUUUACCGAUUGAUGAAGAAGUCCGACAAGUUCGAGUGGACUCCCGAAGCUGAUGCAGCGUUUGCAGAGCUCAAAGCUCUGCUCUCCACCCAGUCGGUGCUUGCUGCCCCAAUCAGCAAAGAGCCUUUGUUGCUUUACAUUGCAGCCACAGGACAAGUCGUCAGUACGGUACUUACGGUCGAGCAGGAAGAAGAAGGGAAAACCUUCAAAGUUCAGCGACCAGUAUAUUAUAUUUCUGAAGUCUUGACCCCAUCGAAGCAAAGAUAUCCUCACUAUCAGAAGCUUGUAUAUGGGAUCUAUAUGACCACCAAGAAAGUUGCUCACUAUUUCUUUGAUCAUUCCAUUACAGUCGUCAGCGACGCUCCAUUAUCAAAGAUCCUGCAUAACAGGGAUGCAACUGGUCGAGUGGCAAAAUGGGCGAUUGAACUCCUUCCCCUUGAUAUCAAGUUUGAGGCAAAGAAAGCUAUCAAGUCCCAAGCAAUCACAGAUUUCGUCGCCGAGUGGAUUGAACAGCAGCUGCCGACUCAGAUUCACUCGGAGCAUUGGACUAUGUUUUUCGACGGCUCCAAGAUGCUGAGUGGUUCCGGCGCCGGAGUGGUGUUGGUCUCCCCCAGAGGAGAUAAACUCAGAUAUGUUCUUCAAAUCCAUUUGAUUCCUCCAAUAACGAGGCAGAAUAUGAAGCACUUUUAUAUGGGUUGCGCAUGGCCAUCUCACUCGGCGUCCGUCGCCUCAUGGUCUAUGGCGACUCAGAUUUGGUGGUUAAUCAGGUGAUAAAGGAGUGGGAUGUCAGAAGUCCAGCCAUGACUGGUUAUUGCAAUGCAGUGAGAAAGCUGGAGAAGAAAUUCGAGGGGUUAGAGCUUCAUCACAUACCCCGACUGAAAAAUCAAGCAGCUGAUGAUUUGGCAAAAGUAGGUUCCAAAAGAGAAGCCAUUCCCAGCAAUGUGUUUUUGGAAAACAUCCACACACCAUCAGUCCAGGAGGAUCCCUUCACGGAAGAGGCCCCGCAGCCAAAAAGCGCCACGGAUCUGACUGAAGUUGAAGUUCCAGCUGUGGUCGAUUUGAUAAUGGAAGUGCUGGUUAUCACUCCUCUCUGGACAGAACCGUACAUCGCGUACAUUCUAAGGAAAGAACUCCUAGAAGACGAGGAAGAGGCUCGACAGAUCGUCCGUCGAUCCAAGGCCUUUACAGUCAUAAAGGGACAGUUAUAUAGGGAAAGCGCGACUGGGGUCGGCCAGAAGUGUAUCACACCAGAAGAAGGUCAGAUGAUCCUUACCGAUAUCCACUCAGGGACCUGUGGUCAUCAUGCGUCCUCUCGAACCAUUGUGGCUAAAGCAUACCGAGCGGGGUUCUACUGGCCAGGGGCCAAUGAGAUGGCUAAAGAGAUAGUCGACAAAUGUGAAGGGUGUCAGUAUUACUCCAAUAUGUCGCACAAGCCCGCGUCAGCCUUGAAAACCAUUCCACUCGUCUGGCCCUUCGCUGUUUGGGGACUGGACAUGGUUGGGCCACUGAGAACAGGCAGGAGCGGCUUCACUCAUGUGCUGGUAGCAGUCGACAAGUUCACCAAAUGGAUUGAAGCCAAGCCUAUCAAGAAUCUCGAUGCUUGCACCGCUAUCAGUUUCAUCAGAGAAUUGAUAUUCAGAUAUGGAGUUCCGCACAGUAUCAUCACGGACAAUGGAUCAAACUUCGAUUCCGACAAGUUCAGGGCCUUUUGCGCCUCUCAGGGUACUCGGGUCGACUAUGCUUCGGUCGCUCACCCCCAGUCAAAUGGACAAGCAGAAAGGGCAAAUGGCCUAAUUCUCAAAGGGCUGAAACCCCAAUUGAUGCGCGACCUCAAGCACGCAGCAGGUGCAUGGGUCGACGAGCUCCCAUCAGUCCUUUGGGGAUUGAGGACAACUUCGAAUCAAUCGACCGGAAGAACCCCAUUCUUUCUGGUCUACGGAGCCGAGGCAGUCUUACCGAGCGACCUGCUUCACAACGCUCCCAGAGUCGAGCUCUACUCAGAAGAUGAAGCAGAACAAGCCCGGCAGGAUGCAGUCGACCUCCUAGAAGAAGAAAGAGAAAUGGCCCUGAUCCGAUCGACCAUCUAUCAGCAAGACUUGCGUCGAUUCCAUGCCAGAAACGUGAAGAGCCGAGCCUUCCAAGAAGGAGACUUAGUCCUUCGAGUGGAUCAGCAGAAACCACACAAGCUUGCUCCUACUUGGGAAGGCCCCUUCAUAGUCACCAGAGUCCUCCACAAUGGAGCAUACCACCUCUACAAUGUCGAUCGCCAGAUUGAUGAGCCACGAGCCUGGAAUGCGGAGCUACUCCGCCCCUUUUAUACUUGAAUUCUCACUCGGACGAGAUGUAAUAAGAAAAACUCCUGUAGUUUAUUUAUCAAAGACAAGAGCGUUAUAAUUUUCCCAGUAAUUAUUAUUGUUUUUGUUUGCGUAAGAAAUCCCCCAGCGGGUGGCUUAGCUGCGAAUCCGCUUCGCCUAAGUUUGAAAAAUCCUACCGAGUGGAGAGCAAUCCUCCCACUCGGGGGCUUAGCUGUGAAUCCGUUUUGCCUAAGUUUGAAAAAUCCUACCGAGUGGAGAGCAAUCCUCCCACUCGGGGGCUUAGCUGCAGUCCAGUACUCGCCAAAGUUCUCCCACUCAGAGACUUAGCUGCAGUCAGGCACUCACCUAAGUUUGUAAAAAUCCUACCGAGUGGAGAGCAACCCUCCCAUUCGGGGGCUUAGCUGCAGUCCAGUACUCGCCUAAGUUCUCCCACUCAGAGACUUAGCUGCAGUCAGGCACUCGCCUAAGUUUGAAAAAUCCUACCGAGUGGAGAGCAACCCUCCCACUCGGGGGCUUAGCUGCAGUCCAGUACUCGCCUAAGUUCUCCCACCUAGAGACUUAGCUGCAGUCAGGUACUCGCCUAAGUUUGAAAAAACCCUACCGAGUGGAGAGCAAUCCUCCCACUCGGGGGCUUAGCUGCAGUCCAGUACUCGCCUAAGUACUCCCAAACACAUCUCAAUCCUCAAGGAUGACGAGGGGCAGGUCGACUGCCACCUUCUCCUGGAGAGCUUCGCCACAAAUACAAUGCGCGAUUCAUCCCGCUCUACAGUAACGAAGUACGAGUCGACUGCCACCUUCUCCUGGAGAGCUUCUCCACAAAUAUAAUGCGCGAUUCAUCCCGCUCUACAGUAACGAAGUACGGGUCGACUGCCCCCCUUCUCCCGGAGAGCUUCGCCACAAAUACAAUGUGCGCUCCGUCCCACUCUGUAGUAACAGGGUGUGGGUCGACCGCCGCCCGCCCCUGGGGAGCUUCGCCACAAAUACAAGGCAUGGGUCGACUACUUCCCCCUCCUUCGGAGCUGUGCUGCGAAUACAUAAAGUUGUCUCGAAUGAAGAAUGGGUUCACUCAGCAUGAGAUUCAUAAAGAUAUUCAACGGUAAACCAAGUUCGGAUAAAUUCUAAAGGUUCCAGACCACAAAUCGAAGUACUCAGGCAUGUAGCCCGAAAAAGUUUAACGGUUACAAAAACCACUCGGCAUUCCGAGGCAAAUUUAAGGUGAGACAUAAGAGUUUGUUCACUCCGCGGGAGGAGGGCUGGCAGGCUCGACGAACUCAUCCAGGUCGACGCCGUCGGCUAUCCGAGUGGCUGCAGCGAUGAAAGUCUCCAUAAAGGUUCGGAAGUCAUGCUUCUGGGUGUUGGCGACCUUGAUUGCUGCCAGCUUGUCUUGUCGCACCUCCUUGCAGUGGACACGAACCAAGGACAGAGCCACAUCAGCGCCACACCGAGCAGAAGACUUCUUCCACUCCUGCACUCGGUCAGGGAUUCCGUUAAGUCGAGUCAUCAGAGACUCAAGAUCGUUUUGGAGCGUAGCCUCUGGCCAAAGUGCCGGGUCGAUCCGUGACAUGGCGACCUUCAGUUGAGCCAAGUAGUCCACGGCACCGUCAAUGCGAGAUUCCAGUCGGAGCAGAUUCAUGGCAGCUUCAUCUUUCACGGGAGAGUUGAUUGGAUCCAAACCUGGUUCGAACCGCCCAGUCUCCUCUUCAAAGUUCUGGCAAAACUCUGCGUUCACGAUCCAAGGAUAAGUCAAUUUUCAUACACUGAGUCGACAUAAAAAAAUCAGUCGGAACUAAAUGUGCACCUUCAAGUUUGAUAUACAACUUCUUGGCAAGGCUCCUCAGGUAGCUCUCCAGAUCGUCCCUCCUACGAGCGACGCCUUCCAUCUUUUCGGUCAGGUUGAGGUUCUCCUUCUUCCAACGUGUGCACUCCCUGUUGGCUUCAUUUAGAGCAGUCUUCAGCAUGGUAUUCUCUUCUUCCAACUGGCCGACUGAAGCCAGCUUCUGUUCGGCCAGAGUGGUCCUGUCGUCAGCCUCCUUCUGGGCAGCAGACAAAUCCUGAUCCGUUUUCGCCAAAGCCUCUCUCAGUUUUUCUGCAAAGAAAUGAUGAUUGAUUCAGAAAUAGCAGAAGGGUGCUCAAGCCUAAAACUGACCAGUCGACAGACUUGUCUUACUGGCGGUGUCGUCUCUGACCGUCUGCAGUUCUGUCUUGGCCAGCUCCAAGUCAAGUUUCAGUUGAAUCUGCUGACUUUCCAAAUCAGCGAAGCGAGCUCCAAGAUCACAAGAUUUCUGAAAUCAAAGGGGAGAAAUUAUUCCAUAGCAAAAAAUGACAAAUACUAAGACUAUAGUCAACUGCCCGCAGUCCACCAUAGUCUCGGGGACUACACCCAGUGGGUGCACUUUGCGUGCCCCCACCGGUUCUGAUUCCACUCGACCGGCCCGCCGGAGUCGAGUUCAAAAAAAGAAGAAGAAAGAGAGACAAAGUAGAACUCAGACCACGGUCGACUGCCCGCAGUCGACCGCGGUCUCGGGGACUACACCCAGUGGGUGCACUUUGCGUGCCCCCACCGGUUCUGAUUCGACUCGACCGGAUCGAGCGGAAGAAACAAACUACCAGUUCGGUUUUACUUGACAAAAUACAAAGACUACGGUCGACUGCAGCAGUCCGUCAUAGCCUCGGGGACUACACCCAGUGGGUGCACUCAGUGUGCCCCCACUAGUCCAGAAAAUUCAAUCGACACACCCAGUGGGUGUACAAAUGAAAAGAUUUUCAGAAAGAAUCUCCAAAUAGCAUAUCCUAACAGAACAAGCGGCGACCAACUAACCUGAACAUUGCUCUGGAGAGCCGAGCUGACAUCAUAGGCGGCUUGGCUGGCGUCCCGCACCGUCUUCAUCUUCUCCAUCAUAAUGCCUGCCUGGCGUAUGGCUUCCCUAGCAGCAUUCACCUCGUCCUUCGAGACAUGAUGGGUUGCAAAAAAUGAAGGCGGGUCGACAUGGGCCUGAGCAGUCGAAGAAGAAGGCAAGGCACUCGACAGGGGCUCCAUGAAGGUAAAAGAACCACGAUUGACGUCACCAGUGUCCUGAACGACUAGUUCCGCCCUCGGCGUCGACUGUAGCGCCUCACUUAUAGGAGCUCGCCUACUCUUCCUCGUCAAAGACCUCUCGGGCUCUUCAUCAUCAGGGAGGUCAAUAAUGUUGGGAGUUGUACAAAGUUCAAAUUGCCAAAAUCACGUCACCCAGUGAUGCACGAUGCAGUUGAAUCGACCAAAGAAAGAUACUAUGGCAGAAAUCAUACCCGGAUUAGAAGUGACCGCAUCCUCCAUCACCUCAUCAUCGUCCCUGUAAGCUGAGGUCCCGGAAGUAGCAGCACUAACAAUUCCAAAGUUCGUCCAGUUAAAACAAGAAAAACAAACAACGCGGAGCGUCGAGUGAAUACAAGGAGAGACACUCACGCGGAGGCGACAGGGAUAUCGAUCUUGAUCUUCGGCAGCGCCUUCCGAGUCUUCGAUUCUGCAACUUUGGGAUGCUUUGGCGCCUUCUCAGUCGUGGUUGGUGAAGAGGUCCGAGGACGCUUCAAAGACUGACCAGCCUGAGCAGUCGCCUUGUCGCGGGCACUCGGCCGAUCCUGGUCAAGCUUGGAUCAUCUCUCUAUGCGAGGAGGCGGCUCGGCUUCUUCCUCAUCACUCAAGUCGUCGCUUCCUCCAUCCCCUUCACCAUCGAAAGUCCACUCGCCACUUUCGCCACCACUCACCUCGCUUUCCAGAGCUUGCUCUUGCUCCCCGUUGGGCAUCGAAUACAUUUCAAUAAUGGCCUGAAAGAAAGCAGGGAGAAAAAAGUCAGUCGACGCAAUACAGACAGCUGCGCGAGUGAAUUCAGAUUACAAGCAAAAACUCAGAAUCAGACCUGCUCUAGUGCACGCGACUGGUCGAAUGGGGGAACUCUCCUGGCUCCUCUGGGGUUGUCCUUGUUCCUGGUGAUGCUCGACAACCACUUCUCCAGCAUGUCGUCAUUGACCUCCUCCAGGUGGAUCCGAGUGGACUCUUCUAGACCCGAAUACAUCCACAUCGGGUGGUCUCGGGCUUGGAGAGGCUGGAUGUGCCGGCGAAGGAAGACCUCCAAGAGAUCCAUACCAGUGACCCCGUCACGAAUGAGCUGGACCACUCGGUUGACCAACACCUUCACGUGCGCCUUCUCCUCCGGGAGCACCUUCAAAGGGGAGGGUUUUUCCACUCGGUCCAUGGUGAAGGGAGGGGAGGCCAGUCGAUUACCCUGGCGUUGACUGGUCUUUGAAGUAGAACCAGGUCGACUGCCACCCGCGAACUGAAUCGGGAAGAAUCAUGGCCGGAAAGGAGCUUUUUCCCCUCGUCUGGAUGCCAAGACCCCCACACAUCUGGAUCACUUGGGUCCUCUCGUCACCCGGGUUAGCCUUUUUCACUGUCUGGGAGCGACAAGUGAAAAUAUGCUUGAAAAGACCCCAGUGAGGUCGACAACCCAAGAAGUUCUCACACAAGGAAAUGAACGUGGCAAGAUAAACGAUUGAGUUGGGGUUAAAGUGGUGGAGUUGAGCCCCGAAGAAGUUCAGAAACCCUCGGAAGAAAGGAUGAGGAGGCAAGGAAAACCCACGGUCGACGUGGGUGGCAAGAAGAACGCGCUCACCCACCCGGGGUUGCGGCUCGGAUUCCUUCCCCGGAAGCCGCGCCGAGUCGUAAGGGAUCAGCCCUCCCUCGGCCAGGUCGUCGAGGUCUUCUUGGGAGAUCCUCGAGUGGAUCCAAUCGCCCUGGAUCCAACCGCUCGCAGGCCAGUCCGCGAGGAAGAUCCGCCCCGGCUCGUCGCCUUCCCCUUCGAUUUCGCCGUCGCCUUCUUCGCCCGCUCCAGAGCCGCUGUCUUCUCCUUCACCAUUGUCGCCGACGAGGCGUGUGUGGUGCGGUGGCGCUGGGGCGAGAGCGAGCGCAGCAGAGAGGCGUGAGGAGGAGAAGAGGUAAUGGGACGCACUGUUCGGGGGACUCCGGUCCAACGCCUUAUAUGAGGCCGCUUCCGAGUGGCUGACUGGUAGGCCCAGAUGGCUCCGUCAAAUCUCGUAACGACCGCGUGAGCGAUACGUCGCGAAAAGGGUGGCGCGGGGAUCGAGGCGGCUCCGCUCUAUCCCAUCCGAUUACUGCGGCCUCCCCCGUCCCGCGCGCUUCCCAAAAUUCGGAUCCCACUAAAUCCGCGGGAAGCAAACAAACUUGUCAGACUAAAAGAUCUCCUCCGCAUCGUCACUCGGAGCCUUACAGGUAAAGAAACUCACUCGACGAAGAAUUAAGAAUGGAUCAAGGCGACUGAAAAGGAAGUUGCCGUCAUCACUCGGGUCCAUUGAUCCGGAGCAAGAUAUGCUCACGGCAUGAAAAACGAGUCGGAGAGGUCCUCAACUCCUUCCCCACUCAAACCUUGAUCCAUUCGGGGGCUAAUGAUGAAGCUAUGGACCUAGGGUAGGGUCAUGGACCUGUCCUAACUGCCCUACCCAAGGACAUCUCUAGAAGGAAUCGCCUUUCAAUCGACUUGAAGGUGUCCCACUCGACCGACUCGAAGACACUCGACCAAGAAGCAAUCGCUCGACCAAGACCCAACCACUCGAUGGCCAGGAGACCUAAAGGCGCCCCGCACGCUAACGGUCGGUCAUUAAGUAGCUCUUAUGGUCAUCAUAGCACUUUAUUACCAGCGUUACCAGAAAUGCCCUGCCUUAAUGUACAUUGAACCCUUCAUAACGUGGGCUGGCCGGGGUCCUGGCGCACUCUAUAUAAGCCACCCCCUCCUCCGAGACAAGGGUUCACACCUCUGUAACUCAUACACACAUAAUCCAGUCAACUACCUCCGGGCUCCGAGAUGUAGGGCUUUUACUUCCUCCGAGAAGGGCCUGAACUCGUAAACCCUGCGUCCUUACAACCACUCCAUAGCUAAGACCUCGCCUCUCCAUACUUACCCCCUACAUUACUGUCAGACUUAGGACCACGACAGUCUCUUUAUUGUAUGCAAUGCAAUUGCGCUGUAAUGCUUUACUUUAUCACUAAGCGGUAGCGAUAGUCAUGGAAGCAUAAGAUUGGCGAGACGACAAUGAUGCUACGAUGGAGAUCAAGGUGUCGCGCCGGUGACGAUGGUGAUCAUGACAAUGCUUCGGAGAUGGAGAUCACAAGCACAAGAUGAUGAUGGCCAUAUCAUAUCACUUAUAUUGAUUGCAUGUGAUGUUUAUCUUUUAUGCAUCUUAUCUUGCUUUGAUUAACGGUAGCAUUAUAAGAUGAUCUCUCACUAAAUUUUAAGAUAAAAGUGUUCUCCCUGAGUAUGCACCGUUGCCAAAGUUCGUCGUGCCCAGACACCACGUGAUGAUCGGGUGUGAUAAGCUCUACGUCCAUCUACAAUGGGUGCAAGCCAAUUUUGCACACGCAGAAUACUCAGGUUAAACUUGACGAGCCUAGCAUAUGCAGAUAUGGCCUCGGAACACUGAGACCGAAAGGUCGAGCGUGCAUCAUAUAGUAGAUAUGAUCAACAUAAUGAUGUUCACCAUUGAAAGCUAUUCUAUUUCACGUGAUGAUCGGUUAUGGUUUAGUUGAUUUGGAUCACGUGAUCACUUAGAAGAUUAGAGGGAUGUCUAUCUAAGUGGGAGUUCUUAAGUAAUAUGAUUAAUUGAACUUAAAUUUAUCAUGAACUUAGUCCUGGUAGUAUUUUGCAAAUCAUGUUGUAGAUCAAUAGCUCGCGUUGUUGCUUCCCUGUGUUUAUUUUGAUAUGUUCCUAGAGAAAUUGUGUUGAAAUAUGUUAGUAGCAAUGAUGCGGAUUGGAUCCGUGAUCUGAGGUUUAUCCUCAUUGCUGCACAGAAGAAUUAUGUCCUUGAUGCACCGCUAGGUGACAGACCUAUUGCAGGAGCAGAUGCAGACGUUAUGAACGUUUAGCUAGCUCAAUAUGAUGACUACUUGAUAGUUUAGUGCACCAUGCUUAACGGCUUAGAAUCAGGACUUCAAAGACGUUUUGAACGUCAUGGACCAUAUGAGAUUUUCCAGGAGUUGAAGUUAAUAUUUCAAGCAAAUACCCGAGUUGAGAGAUAUGAAGUCUCCAACAAGUUCUAUAGCUAAAAGAUGGAGGAGAAUCGCUCAACUAGUGAGCAUGUGCUCAGAUUGUCUGGGUACUACAAUCGCUUGAAUCUAGUGGGAGUUAAUCUUCCAGAUAAGAUAGUGAUUGACAGAAUUCUCUAGUCACCAUCACUAAGUUAGUAGAACUUCGUGAUGAACUAUAGUAUGCAAGGGAUGACGAAAAUGACUCCCGAGCUUUUCAUGAUGAUGAAAUCGAUGAAGGUAGAAAUCAAGAAAGAGCAUCAAGUGUUGAUGGUUGACAAGAUCACUAGUUUCAAGAAAAGGGCAAAGGGAAAAGGGGGACCUUCAAGAAAAAUAGCAAGCAAGUUGUUGCUCAAGUGAAGAAGCCCAAGUCUGGUCCUAAGCCUGAGACUAAGUGUUUCUACUGCAAAGGGACUGGUCACUGGAAGCGGAACUACCCCAAGUAUUUGGCGGAUAAGAAGGAUGGCAAAGUGAACAUAAGUAUAUUUGAUAUACAUGUUAUUGAUGUGUACUUUACUAGUGUUUAUAGCAACCCCUCAGUAUUUGAUACUAGUUCAGUUGCUAAGAUUAGUAACUCGAAACGGGAGUUGCAGAAUAAACAGAGACUAGUUAAAGGUGAAGUGAUGAUGUGUGUUGGAAGUGGUUCCAAGAUUGAUAUGAUCAUCAUCGCACACUCCCUAUACUUUCGGGAUUAAUGUUAAACCUAAAUAAGUGUUAUUUGGUGUUUGCGUUGAGCAUGAAUAUAAUUUGAUCAUGUUUAUUGUAAUACGGUUAUUCAUUUAAGUAAGAGAAUAAAUUGUUGUUCUGUUUACAUGAAUAAAACCUUAUAUGGUUACACACCCAAUGAAAAUAGUUUAUUGGAUCUCGAUCGUAGUGAUACACAUAUUCAUAAUGUUGAAGCCAAAAGAUGCAGAGUUGAUAAUGAUAGUGCAACUUAUUUGUGGCACUGCCGUUUAGGUCAUAUUGGUGUAAAGCGCAUGAAGAAACUCCAUGCUGAUGGGCUUUUGGAACCACUUGAUUAUGAAUCACUUGAUACUUGCGAACCGUGCCUCAUGGGCAAGAUGACUAAAACACCGUUCUCUGGUACUAUGGAGAGAGAAACAGAUUUGUUGGAAAUCAUACAUACAGAUGUAUGUGGUCCAAUGAAUGUUGAAGCUCGUGGCGGUAUCGUUAUUUUCUCACCUUCACAAAUGAUUUAAGCAGAUAUGGGUAUAUCUACUUAAUGAAACAUAAGUCUGAAACAUUUGAAAAGUUCAAAGAAUUUCAGAGUGAAGUUGAAAAUCAUCGUAACAAGAAAAUAAAGUUUCUACGAUCUGAUCGUGGAGGAGAAUAUUUGAGUUACGAGUUUGGUCUACAUUUGAAACAAUGCGGAAUAGUUUCGCAACUAACGCCACCCGGAACACCACAGCGUAAUGGUGUGUCCGAACGUUGUAAUCGUACUUUACUUGAUAUGGUGCGAUCUAUGAUGUCUCUUACAGAUUUACCACUAUCGUUUUGGGGUUAUGCUCUAGAGACAGCCGCAUUCACGUUAAAUAGGGCACCAUCAAAAUCAGUUGAGACGACGCCUUAUGAACUGUGGUUUGGCAAGAAACCAAAGUUGUCGUUUUUGAAAGUUUGGGGCUGCGAUGCUUAUGUGAAAAAACUUCAACCUGAUAAGCUCGAACCCAAAUCGGAGAAAUGUGUCUUCAUAGGAUACCCAAAGGAGACUGUUGGGUACACCUUCUAUCACAGAUCCGAAGGCAAGACAUUUGUCGCUAAGAAUGGAUCCUUUCUAGAGAAGGAGUUUCUCUCGAAAGAAGUGAGUGGGAGCAAAGUAGAACUUGAUGAGGUAACUGUACCUGCUCCCUUAUUGGAAAGUAGUACAUCGCAGAAACCGGUUUCUGUGACACCUACACCAAUUAGUGAGGAAGCUAAUGAUAAUGAUCAUGAAACUUCAGAACAAGUUACUACCGAACCUCGUAUAUCAACCAGAGUAAGAUCCACACCAGAGUGGUAUGGUAACCCUGUUCUGUAAGUCAUGCUACUAGAUCAUGAUGAAUCUACGAACUAUGAAGAAGUGAUGGUGAGCCCAGAUUCCGCAAAAUGGCUUGAAGCCAUGAAAUCUGAGAUGGGAUCCAUGUAUGAGAACAAAGUAUGGACUUUGGUUGACUUGCCCAAUGAUCGGCAAGCAAUUGAGAAUAAAUGGAUCUUCAAGAAGAAGACUGACGCUGACAGUAAUGUUACUGUCUACAAAGCUCGACUUAUCGAAAAAGGUUUUUGAUAAAGUUCAAGGUGUUGACUACGAUGAGAUUUUCUCACUCGUAUCGAUGUUUAAAGUCUGUCUGAAUCAUGUUAGCAAUUGCCGCAUUUUAUGAAAUGUGGCAAAUGGAUAAACAAAAUUGCAAUCCUUAAUGGAUUUCUUAAAGAAGAGUUGUAUAUGAUGCAACCAGAAGGUUUUGUCAAUCCUAAAGGUGUUAACAAAAAUGUGCAAGCUCCAGCGAUCCAUCUAUGGACUAGUACAAGCAUCUCGGAGUUGGAAUAUACGCUUUGAUGAGUUGAUCAAAGCAUAUAGUUUUAUACAGACUUGCGGUGAAGCCUGUAUUUAUAAGAAAGUGAGUGGGAGCACUACAGCAUUUCUGAUAAGUAUAUGUGAGUGACAUAUUGUUGAUCGGAAAUAAUGUAGAAUUAUUCUGUAAAGCAUAAAGAAGUGUUUGAAAGGAGUUUUUCAAAGAAAGACCUCGGUGAAGCUGCUUACAUAUUGAGCAUCAAGAUCUAUAGAGAUAGAUCAAGACGCUUGAUAAGUUUUUUCAAUGAGUACAUACCUUGACAAGAUUUUGAAGUAGUUCAAAAUGGAACAGUCAAAGAAAGAGUUCUUGCCUGUGUUACAAGGUGUGAAAUUGAGUAAGGCUCAAAGCCCGACCACGGCAAAAGAUAGAAAGAGAAUGAAAGUCAUUCCUUAUGCCUCAGCCAUAGAUUCUAUAAAGUAUGCCAUGCUGUGUACCAGAUCUAUUGUAUACCCUGCCCUGCGUUUGGCAAGGGAGUACAAUAGUGAUCUAGGAGUAGAUCAUUGGACAUUGGUCAAAAUUAUCCUUAGUAGAAUAAGGAUAUGUUUCUCGAUUAUGAAGGUGACAAAAGUUUCAUCGUAAAGGGUUACGUCGAAGCAAAUUUUGAAACUGAUCUAGAUGACUCUAAGUCUCGAUCUAGAUACAUACUGAAAGUGGGAGCAAUUAGUUAGAGUAGCUACAUGCAGAGCAUUUUGACAUAGAAAUUUGCAAAAUACUUACGGAUCUGAAUGUGGCAGACCCAUUGACUAAACUUCUCUCACAAGCAAAACAUGAUCACACCUUAGUACUCUUUGGGUAUUAAUCACAUAGCAAUGUGAACUAGAUUAUUGACUCUAGUAAACCCUUUGGGUGUUGGUCACAUGUCGAUGUGAACUAUAGGUGUUAAUCACAUGGUGAUGUGAACUACUGGUGUUAAAUCACAUGGAGAUGUGAACUAGAUUAUUGACUCUAGUGCAAGUGGGAGACUGAAGGAAAUAUGCCCUAGAGGCAAUAAUAAAGUUAUUAUUUAUUUCCUUAUAUCAUGAUAAAUGUCUAUUAUUCAUGCUAGAAUUGUAUUAACCAGAAACAUAAUACAUGUGUGAAUACAUAGAGACAAACAGAGUGUCACUAGUAUGCCUCUACUUGACUAGCUCGUUAAUCGAAGAUGGUUAUGUUUCCUAACCAUAGACAUGUGUUGUCAUUUGAUUAACGAGAUCACAUCAUUAGGAGAAUGAUGUGAUUGACAUGACCCAUUCCAUUAGCUUAGCACCCGAUCGUUUAGUAUGUUGCUAUUGCUUUCUUCAUGACUUAUACAUGUUCCUAUGACUAUGAGAUUAUGCAACUCCCGUUUGUCGGAGGAACACUUUGUGUGCUACCAAACAUCACAACGUAACUGGGUGAUUAUAAAGGAUCUCUGCAGGUGUCUCCAAAGGUACAUGUUGGGUUGGCGUAUUUCGAGAUUAGGAUUUGUCACUCCGAUUGUCGGAGAGGUAUCUCUGGGCCCUCUCGGUAAUGCACAUCACAUAAGCCUUGCAAGCAUUGCAACUAAUGAGUUAGUUGCGAGAUGAUGUAUUACGAAACGAGUAAAGAGACUUGCCGGUAACGAGAUUGAACUAGGUAUUGAGAUACCGACGAUCGAAUCUCGGGCAAGUAGCAUACCGAUGACAAAGGGAACAACGUAUGUUAUUAUGCGGUCUGACCGAUAAAGAUCUUCGUAGAAUAUGUGGGAGCCAAUAUGAGCAUCCAGGUUCCGCUAUUGGUUAUUGACCGGAGACGUGUCUCGGUCAUGUCUACAUUGUUCUCGAACCCGUAGGGUCCGCACGCUUAAGGUUUCGAUGACAGUUAUAUUAUGAGUUUAUGAGUUUUGAUGUACCGAGGGAGUUCGGAGUCCCGGAUGAGAUCAGGGACAUGACGAGGAGUCUCAAAAUGGUCGAGACAUAAAGAUCGAUAUAUUGGACGACUAUAUUCGGACAUCGGAAAGGUUUCGAGUGAUUCGGGUAUUUUCGGAGGUACCGGGGAGUUACGGGAAUACAAGGAAGAAGCAAUGGGCCUUAAUGGGCCUUAGUGGGAAGGACCAGGAGGUGGCGCGCCCCCCUCCCAAGCCCAGUACGAAUUGGACAAGGGGUUUGGGGCGCGGCCCCUCUCUCCCUUCCUUCCCCUCUUCCCACUUUACCCCUUCUCCUAGUUGGAGUAGGAAAGGAGGAAACCUACUCCAACUAGGAGUAGGAAUCCUACUCCCUGGCGCGCCCCUCCUAGGGCCGGCCUCCUUCCCCUUACUCCUUUAUAUACGGGGGAGGGGGGCACCUCUAGACACACAAGUUGAUCCUCGUGAUCGUUUUCUUAGCCGUGUUCGGUGCCCCCUUCCACCAUACUCCUCGAUAAUAUUGUAGUGGUGCUUAGGCGAAGCCCUGCGUCGGUAGAACAUCAAGAUCGUCACCACGCCGUCGUGCUGACGGAACUCUUCCCCGACACUUUGAUGGAUCGGAGUCCGGGGAUCGUCAUCGAGCUGAACGUGUGCUAAAACCCGGAGGUGUCGUAGUUUCGGUGCUUGAUCGGUCGGGCCGUGAAGACGUACGACUACAUCAACCGCGUUGUUAUAACGCUUCCGCUUUCGGUCUAUGAGGGUACGUAGAUUACACUCUCCCCUCUUGUUGCUAUGCAUCACCAUGAUCUUGCGUGUGCGUAGAAAUUUUUUGAAAUUACUACGUUCCCCAACAAUGGCAUGUCCAACCCUUGUUCUGUCACCGGGGGAAACUCUAGGCUCGGUUUGCCGGGCCAGACAGUGGCGGCGUCUCAGCGCCGUCCUCUUAUUUGAGGGCGCUUCCUAGGUGCUCAGGGUGGGUCCGGAGGAGCAGCUGGUUUGUUGCCUUGCACGCUUCGGCGGUGAGGCUUGGGGUGCCAAGUUGUCAUGCGCGGGGUGUUGCUGGGGACAUGAGCAUCCAGGGCGCUAUGUACUCCAUAAUCAACACCUUUCCGACGGCGUCUUCUCCUAGUCAGACUAUCUCCCGUUGUCCGCUCGCCGAUCCUCUAGGCACCAAGAAUGGAGAGUGCGUUGAGCUAGUUUGGUUAGGUGUUUUUGUCGUCUUUUGAGUUGUUUGGUAUAGGGGGGGCGUGGCCUGUGUGCUCUGUGACCGUCCUCUUCGCCAUUGUUGGCUCAAGUUUGGUCAAGGCGGGUUAGUUGACGGUGUUGUCACGGUGAAUGUGGGUGCUAUCUUCUGUGGUCGCACGUUGCCGAAAAGCGUUGUACCAGCCGUUUUGGCUCUUCUUCUUUAAUAUAUAGUACGCACCCUCGUGCGUAUUCGAGAAAAAAGUAGCAUCAAAAGGAUACAAAUUAAAUUAUGCGACACGAGACCUCUGCAUAGUUAAAAUGCACACAACCAAAGACAACAAGGCGGGUUAAUUGAAUUAUGUUGAUCCAUUCUUUCUAACCAGCCAUGAUGAUGCGGCGCAAUGAGCCGUCCUUGUCCCUAGCACCGAAUCGUCAAUGUCGCUGGUUGUCUCGAACCAGCCGAGCCGAGGUGGCCGGAGCGACGCGCCAUCGCCCAUCGGGAUCACACGGCAGGACGAACAGAUAGAUGACGGGCGCAUGGGUCCCAUCAUCAGAAAAUGAAACUAAACCACAGCCCUUAAUUGCAAGUCUUGUCCUCAGUCCACGGUAGCCAUUCACAUUCAUCUCCCUCUCUCUCUCUCUCGCGCGCGCGUCGGAGGGAGAGUCCUUGGGUCUAUAUAAAUAGGAAGGAAGGCCACCUCGUCUCCCUCUCCUACCCUACCCCCCGGGCGUACUCAACCUCACGGAAGCUGCCCCGGUACGCCCCGCAACCAUAAACGCGACGCCCAGAGAAGAUGUGAGCGCGUUAAUGCCUAGCCUCGUACGCUACGAGCAUCCACAUAUCUACCAAUCCGCACACCCGGACCUUUCCCGGCCUCGGCCGUCUCACUUCAUCCCAUCCACCUGCAGCUAGCAGCGGCCUGCCGCGCGCGCUGUGGAUCAUAAGCAAGCUUCCAUGGAGCCGCCACCUUCUCCGCUGGGCGCCGGCGCCUGCGCUGUCUGCUGCAUGUGCGGCGACCGCGGCCUGCCGCACGAGCUGCUCCGCUGCAAGCUCUGCCGCGUCCGCCUGCAGCACAGGUGCGUGCCGGCGUGUGUGCCUUGCGCGAUCGCUCCAGCUCUCCUUCUCCUAUCGAUCGAUCCAUCUGACCUGGGCGUGUGUUUGUUAUGUGUGUAGAUACUGCAGCGAUCUGUACCCGAGGGCCACGGCGUACAGGAGGUGCAACUGGUGCCUGAGGGAGCCCGCAGAAGCCCACGCCCAAGCGCACGCUCAAGCUCAACCGGUGGCUAGCAAGAAGGCGGAGAAACGGAAGAUGGUGCAAUCAACGGAGACGUCCACCUCCGACGAGGAGGCGCGGCGGCAGCACGAGGCCGGAUGCGCCACUGCUACGAGGUCCAGGAGAUCGGCCGCGGAGGUUGGUCAGCCGGUCAAGAAGCCCAAGGUCGACGAGAGGCCACCGCUGCCCCCGUCGCCGGGCACGGCGGCGAAGCGGAACAGCGGCGACAAGAAGCCUAAGGUCGACGAGUGGCCAGCGCUGCCCCCGUCGCCCGGCACGGCGGCGAAGGGGAACAGCGGUGACAAGAAGCCCAAGGUCGACGACAGGCAAGCGCUGCUGCCUCCGUCGCCGGGCACGGCGGCGAAGGGGAACAGCGGUGACAAGAAGCCCAAAGUCGACGACAGGCAAGCGCUGCUGCCUCCGUCGCCGGGCACGGCGGCGAAGGGGAACAGCGGUGACAAGAAGCCCAAAGUCGACGAGAGGCCACCGCUGCCUCCGUCGCCGGGCACGAAGGCGAAGGGGAACAGCGGCGACAAGAAACCUAAGGUCGACGAGUGGCCGGCGCUGCCCCCGUCGCCGGGCACGGCGGCGAAGGGAAACAGCGGCGACAAGAAGCCGAUGCAGGCGGGGAAGCUGGCGCGGCAGGGUAGGGUCAAGGUGAGGCGGUACAAGCUCCUGGCAGAGGUGAUUAGCUGCUAGCUAGGAUCACGGAAUCAAAAGGGGAAGUAGCUAGCCACCUUCGACAUUUGGUGUCGAUGUAUGUAAAUACCGUUUACCCGUCGUGUACGGGUUUUCUCUCUCUUUUUUGGGAGAGAGUCGACUACCAUACUAGUGCUGUACACAUCUUAAGCCGUCAGUUUUAUACACCAGUUGACGUGCACAGAGGGGUCGGUUUGACUUUAUGCCGGGGCGGCGAUGAGCUGGUGCGACUGCUUUAGUCUGCAUAUUGCAUCCGAUUGCCCCGUGAAGCAUAGAUUGGAGGUGGAAGUGAGCGGUGGCAUGUCGGAGCGAUGACAUCCAGAGAUGAGUCAGUGCAACAGUCAUGGUCUAUGAACGGUUACCCGUCGCAACAUAGAUUGUAAGUGGUUAGGCUGUGCGACACCGUAACUUGAGAGUGAGUGGUGGUAUGUCGGAACGGCGGCCCUGAAAGGUGAGGUCGGUCAGCCCGUCAAGAAGCCAAGGUCGACAAGAAGCCAGUGUUGCCCCUGUCGCUGGGGAUGGCAGCGAAGGGGAACAGCAACGACAUGAAGCUCUUGGCAGAGGUAAGAACAAAAGGAGAAGUAGCUAGCCACCAUCGACAUUGGUGUCACCUGUCUAUACAUGUUUUCCCUCCUCUUUGUUUUUGAGAGAGAGAGAGAGUCGACUAGGUGCUAGUGAUGUACAAAUCUAAGAGUUUCCAGUAAAUUAAUUCCUUUUUACCUUAUAUACACCAUGGGUUUAUGUGACAGUAUUGUUAGCGAGCUUGUCGGCUUAGCGUUCCAAAGAGAGAUCUGAUUUUACAUUGGAGCAGCGGCAGAAUAUCGUAGCCUACGGACCAUUGCCCCAUGAAGCAUAGGUUGUAGGUGGUAGCGAGUGGUGGUAUGUCAAUGGUGAACCUGGAAGGUGGUGUUGGUGGACCAUGCCAAUGGACGACUGAGGGGUCGGAAAUCAAGGUGGUGGCCUUGAGAGUUUGACAACGUUGUGGUUGUGUGAGCGAGGUAGCGUGUACUGCUGGUCAUUGGUGUAUCAAGUGUCACAUUGCGCACAAAUCCUCUAUAGCUUGUGGAGUGCAUGCGUCUUAUCUCCGUGAGAGCAUACCUAGUUUGCUCCUUCAAUAGCAGUCAUGACUUCUUCUAUCCCGACAGUGGUGCGAGACCUUCAAUGGAGUAGGUUUCCGGUUGGUUCGUGUCUGCUUGGUUGGAGCAUUUUGGUUGUGUAUAUUGCAUCAGCGAAAUGUGUGAGUUUAGCUCUCAUUGGAUGUUUGAGGCUUUUAGUGGGUUGGCAAUGCAUGUACUAGUUUUUACCCGUUUUCCUUAUUUUAACUAGAUUAUAAUCCCUUCUUAAUUACUAAAAAGGCAAAUCUUUGCAUUGGUACAAAAAAUGUAAUGGAGGCAUGAAAUAUUAUCGUAUGGGUGUAUUCACCGCUCAUUGAGAUCCCUCGCUCAUGAAAUUACACGUCAACUAUUCAGGGCUCACUUAAACCCUAUUACUUCAGAGCACUUUACCCUGAUUUUGGCUCCUUUCGACGAUGUAGAUGAUGCCACCUUCUUCAUCGUCAAGCUCACCUUGAGGGUUGUUUUGAUGAUAUAGGUGUUCACCUCUGCCUCCUCCACUAUAUUGUUAGUGAUGUUCUCAUCAUUAAGCCUUUGAAGCCUUAUGUCCAUGAUCUAUUGUCGGAUGGUAGGUGCGACAUAUGCCAACGGGUGGCUUAUCGUUGUGGGAGCCAGUAAAACAUCGCCGGUGCCUGGAAAUGGGAUGAGGCGAAGACAUGCACGCCGGCGUAUCUUACCCAGCUUCGGGGCUCUCCGUGGAGAUAACACCCCUACUGCUGCUCUGCGGGGUCUCCGCAUGAUCACUAGAUGAACAAGUAGCUACACGAUGCUCCUUGAGCUGUUUGGCGAGAGGAGGAAGAAGGGCUCUGCUUGCUCUCUUCUCCUCCCUACGUGGUGUCUAAAACUAGCAGGGAUCCAUCCUUUGCAUGGGUGUCCCGGGGGGUUUAUAUAGGCCUACACCCCGGGGGUACAAUGGUAAUCCGGCUGGGCGCGGGGCCCAGCCGUCUGUGUCUUCGCUCUCCGGCUUCUGCACCGGCUACCGGCUCCUUGGUCGACAGGCAGGCCCCACUGUCCAGGGCCUUGUCGGUGGCUGGUCACUGUUGCUCAAUCUUGGUGACGAGGGCUUCGCCGAGGUAAGCGUGGCUACAGUGCUGCCGUCCGGCGGGUGACCACUGUAGCCUCACCGCGUCUUGUCUCCUUAAUGGGGCGCCUCCUUCGAGGGAGUGGCAAGCCGGCUGGAGAGAGCCGGCUCCGUCUUGGGCCGACUGGGGGAGGCCAGGCCGCCUUCGGGUGUCUCUCUAUUCGAAGGGGCCCACCGCCUGUGGGCCGUACUGGUAGCCCGUCGUGGAUGACGUCAGGGUCAACGUGGCAACAGUGCUGCGCCGGAUGGGUCAUGGCCACCCGUACGGCGCACUGUACCAGGCGCGCUCCGGGAUUCGGGGGUGGCAGGCUUCACUAUAGACACGCCCCGUCACAUCGCCGUUAGGUGGAUGCAGACUUCGCGGGUACGGUCUUGACCGCUUUAUGGGAGCCGGCUCCUUGGAGCCGGCCUUCUCGCAGCCGGCUCCUCGGAGCCGGCCCUCCCACGGCUUUCUUCAUGAGGGCUGAAGUCGGGCCGCCUUCCAAUAGCCGGCCUGGGAGACAGCCGACUAGGGGAAGGCGGCCCCAUGUCUUGGUUUCUUGAGAGCCGGAUCGGCUCGUAAUUUUUUCAGAAAGGCCAGGGGGAGCCGGCUAGGCUACCCGUGGUCACUUACUCCGACAGUAGUCCCCGAAGCUGAUAAAGGGACGAGAAGCUUGGUCAGCUUCCUAUCCUGAGGGGCCGGCUUUGCUUGUGCGCGCCGACUUCGGAGAGCUCCGUUUCUCGUAGGCGGGAACGCGGUCGACCUGCGAGCUGUCCGCAGGCCAUCCCGCGGGCCACGUGGCAAGGAGAUCCUACCAGUGCACGCGCGCGACGGGACGCCGCCGCAGGCCCGGGCCCGCCACUACUAGGCCUCGGCCCGAGCGUGGAUCUUCUGCAGCCCACAUGGACCGCUCGCCUUCUCACGGCGGUUUUAUUCUGCCAUCAAGGCGUAAUAAUCACGGGACAUGGGGGAGUGGGCACAGUUGAUCCCCACGUUCCCCCACGCCGCGCCUCCUCGGCUCCGUUGCGUGGUCUAUAAGUAGGAGGAGGAGGGGGAGCGGCAGAGGCUCGCGCGCUCUCCCUCACUCCGCCCUUUCUCGUCUUCCUUCUUCUCCUCCCCGCCGCCGCAGUAACUCUUUGCCGCGCCGCUCCGCCGCCGCAUCAUCUUGCUUCUCACCGCGCUGCCCCAUGGCGCUGUCAUGAUCGUGGGAUGGCUCCAACGUCCAUGAGGACCACGUCGCGUUCCUCCGCCAGACGCGAUGCCUGCCCGGCGAGGACUUCGUUCGGGUUCGUCUAGCGCCGGAGAAGGAGAUUUCGCCGGCACCGGAGAAGGGCGAGCGGGUGAUCUUCCGCUCGCACUGCCUGCGCGGCUUCGGCCUUCCGGCGAGCGGGUUCCUCCGAGCCUUCCUCGAAUUCUACAACCUCCAGCCGCAUCACCUCACGCCCAACGCGGUGAUGCUGCUGUCGGCCUUCGUCACGCCAUGCGAAGGCUUCCUUGGGGUCCUCCCCACGCUUGAGCUCUGGGCGGAAUUCUUCCAAAGCAAGCUCGGCACCGUCGUCGCGGGCGUGCCCGCCCCUUGCGGAGCCUUUAUUGCCAUGAGGCGGGCGAGCGAGAACAACCCGUUUCCGCCCAUCCCGCUGAUCCAGACGGUGAAGCUCUGGCAGAAGUCAUACUUUUACGUGAAGAAUGUCACGCGGCAAGGCGACUACGUCAACCUGCCGACUUAUGAAGCCGGCCCGCCGGCUGGGAGGCGACCUUCAUGGAGCUACCGGGCCAGGUCGUUGUCUCAGGCCGGGAACGCAGCCGUCUCCCGGCUUCGGGUGAUGAUCCAAUCGGAGGGCCUGACCGGAGCAUACUUGGUGGCCGCCUUCGUGGAGCGCCGGGUUCUUCCCCUCCAAAGCCGGCCUCACAUGGUUUGUCAGAUGAGCGGCCGCUUCGACCCAAGCUGGCUGAGCACCAGGGAGAUGCCUCAUGCGGAGGUCUCCUACAUGGUGAACUAUAUCUCCAAUUGCAAGCUCGCCGAGGACUGGCGAUACGGCAAGGAGCCGUAUUCCCGCGCCAACCCUCCGUCUGCCGUAAGUUCUUUCUUCUUUUCUUCCUUUUUGUAGCCGGCCUCAUGAUAGCCGACUCUUUGAUCAGUUGGUUUGCCUUUUGCAGAACCCUCUCCUCCCGCCGAUGACCGGGGCCGCAGGGGUAGAGCGCCAGCUCGUCCCUGACCGCACGGUGGACGACGCCGAUGACCCGGACUUGGGAGCGGCCGCCAUGGAAGACGCCAUCGUGGGGAAAAGCGACGAGACCGGAGGCGCGGGGCUCACGGCCGGCUUCGAGGACUGGUCGGAUGAUGCCGAGGUCGAAGUCGCCCCGCGCCGCCAGCCGGCGCCUGAUCAUCAAGGCGCGAGCUCGUCCGCCGCGCUGGCUGCUGGCGGCGGCGCCCAGAAGCGCCGGGCCGUGUCGAUCCUCUUCGGCAGCUGGCCGAAGAAGUCCAAGGCUUCCACAGCGGUGACCAAGCGAGAUGAGGCGGCCGCGAAGGCGGCCCGCUUCCGCAAGGCGGUGAAGCAGCCGCAGGCGAUCUCAGCGUGAGUCGUCGAAUGCUUGGAUACAUAUUUUUUGUUGUUCUUUUCGAUUGAAAACUCUUCUAAACCUUUCUUUGCUCGCCGGACAGGGCGCCACUUUCCCUUGAGCGGGGUCCGGGUGGCUCCGUAGUCGGGCCAACUGGAGGGUCUUCGGGCUCCCGCCGCGUGGAUCCCCGCGCCGACCUCAAGGAGGCCACGGAGCGGAACGCACGAGAGGUGCGGGAGGAGCGGGAGGCGGCGGAGCGAAGGGCCGCCCAGGCGAAGAAGGAGAGGGCCGAUGCAGCAGCCAAGGCCCGGGCGGAGGCGGCAGGUACGGAGAUGGAGGCGGAGGAUUCGCACAACUAGCCUCCGCUGCAAGCCAUUCCCCUCCGCGCCGUGGCCCCCAACAUUCCUGUGCCUCCGCUGGAGGAGGUCGACCAAGAACCGCCGGUCAUGGAGCGGAGGGAGGACUCCGUGAUCUUCGUGGAGGGGGCACCGCCGGCAGCGCCAACAGGAGCGGGCCAAGGCGGCCAGUCGGCUGCGGCGCUAGAGCAGCCGGCCGGGGGUGAGCCGGAAGCAGGAGCCGGCCUCGAGGUGCAGCCGGCAAUGCGCCGGCGCGCAAGGGGAGGCACUGCUGCACCGGAGCCGCACCGAGCUACGGGUGCCAGCCGGACGGCGGAGGCCUUGGAGACGGCCAGCACCGGCACGUCCUAGUGGACUCCCAGCAGCGGGACGAGCGAGCUGAAUGUGGCGGCCCAAGAGGUUCGGAACUGGCUUCAGGCCCAAGCCGCCUCGCUGCAGCAAUACACCCAGGAGUUCCUUGCGACACGGGCCGUCAUCCGAGUGAGUCUUCUAUCUUUGGUUGUUUUGUCCUCUUGAUUUUUUCCGUGGGGGCGCGUCAGCGCACCCACUGGGUGUAGUCCCCGAGAUUCGGGCCGACUGCUGAGCAGUCGGGUCGGAUCUUCCUUGACGACUACCUUAUUCUCGCCUCCUGUCUAAUCUUCCAGGAGUAUCAUAACCUCCGCGCUGCCACCUUCAACUCCCAGGCUCAGGAGCUGGGUCGGAGAACCAAAGACCUGAUCAGCAGCCGGAGUACGUACUUGGUUUCGUUCAUCUCCUGUGGGGGCGCGUCAGCGCACCCACUGGGUGUAGUCCCCGAGAUUCGGGCCCACUGCUGAACAGUCGGGUCGGAUCUUUCCUGACGACUUUACCUUACUGGUUUUUCUUUUGUCUUUCGUGCUCGCAGAAGUCAAUGCCGACUUAAGGGGGCAGCUCAGCGAGGCGCAGGACACCCUUCGUGCCAAGGAAACCGAGUACGACGCCUUGGUCCUGGAGCGUGACCGCCUGGCCAAGAAGCUGGCUGACCAGGAGGAGAGCCACAAAGCGGCUCUGAAGAAGGCGUAGGAUAACGAAGCCGCCCUGAAGGCCGAGUUCGAGACUGAAGCGGCGGGCUGGGCUGAGACCAGGCAAGCGCUGAAUGAAGGCUUUGGCCGUAUUGAGGAUUUGAUCGACGGUAAGCCGCCUUCCUCGCUCCUUGCCUGCCCCUUGCCGCCUGACUUGUGUUCUGACUUGAGCUGCUUUUUAUUCUCUGUGCAGACUACUUUCCUGGCUACUCCGUCUUCGCCGCCCAAACCAUCGAGGCCCAUCGCGAAGCGCGCCGGCAGGCGGGGGCUGAAGUCGCGCCGGACGCGAGUCGGUCGCUCGAAGAGCAACUCUUGGCGGUCCAAGCGCGGCUGCAGCCGGCUCAUCGUAUGCUCCGCCGCCUCCCGCGCGCCGGAGCGCAGGUGUUGGCCGCCCUCUGGCCAAGCGAGGCGAUUCCCCGCACCCCGAGUCGGACUGCCGACUGGCUGGAGGUUGCGGUUGGCCGCUUCGAGGCCUGGAAGGCGUCGGCGGCCUGGCUUGGAGCUGGACGGGCGCUGGAGUUCGUCCGAGCUUGCUAUUCGGGGCUGAACCUGGACCAGCUGCGCACCUGGCGGCUGGAGGCCGACGAAGAGCUAGCGGAGGUGCGGCUGGCUAUCGCUCAGCGCGCAUCGAUAAUCACCGAGUGUACUGACAUCAGCGUCUUCGCUCCCGAGAUUAAUGAUGACGGCGUUGCCCAGCCGGAGGAGUGGUUCGGGCUGGACCCGCCGGCGGGUGAAGACUCGGCAGAAGAGAUCGCCUCCAGCGACGAAGGCGAAGACGACGAAGGAGAGGAAAGCGAAGACGUCGAGCCGGCUGGUGGAACAGCCAACCAGCCUCAGCCUGACCGUGCCUCCAGCAACGAGGCGCGCGCAAGCGCGCCUUCUGCGGGAGGCAGUGAUCAUGCCGAGGUUCGCCAGCCGGCCACUCCUCCAGCCGGCACUGCCGUCUCCACCGACCUGCCCGCUCGUCAGUUGCUCCACCGGCUUAAUCUGUCGUCCUUGUUUUUCCUGCUUGUUGCCUUCUGAACAAUUUUAUUAAGCUUCCGCAGUUUCACCCACUGGGGGUGUAUCCAAACUAUGUUAAAUGCUAGCCUUUUGAAGGUCUUUUAUGUAAAUAUUAACUUGUGCAUGUUUGGUUUCCAUUCACGUAUGCUUUUUAUCCUUAGGUUGUUUCCUUUGUCGUCUUCCCCUUCUGGGAAGGCAAGUACUCGAGCUUUCUUAGAUUGGAGCGAGGUGAAUGGAAGCCGGCCGGCCGGCUACUCUGGUAGCCAGUCGGCGGUGGGAGAAAAAUCGGCUUUUGUUAUAUUAGUCCAUUAGUCCCUAGCCGUUUUUCGUGUGGGCACCCGUUCCUGCCCUUAACUCUUGCCAGCCGGACAGCCGGUUCUUCGAACUGCGACUUUUGGCAAGAGAAGGCUUGGGAGCCGGCACACUACUUGUCUGACUGCGGGUAGGAUUUCUAAUAUAACUCCAGGCGGCCAGUCCCCGGGCCGACUAGUCGAACCCGGUGCCGGACGGAAAAAAGUGAAUGCAAUGACAAGGCCAUAAGCAUGCUACUUUUCAUUUAUAGACAAAAGAUGGCAGUCCCCGAGCUCUCCUCGGGGGCCCUAUUGUCUCGUACUUAGUACAAAAGUUAGCGUGAUGCAUACUGCAUUUCAGCUGUAAAACCUUCGGAGGAGGUUGGCGUUCCAUGGUCAUUCCGACUCCUUGCUGGAGUCGUCUCUCUUUUGUGCCUUCAACUUCUGCGCGUCGAUCAGGUAGUAUGAGUCGUUGCCUAAGGCUCUGCUGAUGAUGAAGGGGCCCUCCCAAGGGGCCGAGAGCUUGUGUUGGCCGGUUGUUCGCUGGAUCAGCCGGAGCACAAGAUCGCCCUCUUGGAAGGAUCUUGGCCUGACCUUCCGGCUGUAGUAGCGGCGCAGGCCCUGCUGAUAGAUGGCGGACUGGCUGAGGGCUAACAGCCGGCUUUCUUCCAGCAGGUCGACGCCGUCUUCUCGUGCUUCCUUGGCCUCCGCUUCCGUGUACAUGGUUACUCGAGGCGAGUCGAACUCGAUGUCAGUUGGGAUGACCGCCUCGGCACCAUACACGAGGAAGAAAGGGGUGAAGCCGGUUGACUUGUUUGGUGUAGUGCGCAGACUCCAGAGGACAGCCGGCAGCUCGUCGAGCCAACAACUGGCUGAACGCUUCAGUGGUACGAUCAGUCGGGGCUUGAUGCCGGAAAGGAUGAGGCCGUUGGCUCGCUCGACCUGGCCGUUUGACUGCGGGUGGGCGACGGAUGCUAGAUCCAACCGGAUGCCUUGCGUCGCGCAGAAACGUGCCAAGGCUCCCUUGGCGAAAUUUGUGCCAUUGUCAGUGAUGAUGCUGUGUGGCACGCCGUACCGAGUUGUUAUAUCUGCGAUAAAUGUGAUGGCAGUCGGCCCAUUCAGCUUCUUGAUCGGCUUUGCUUCAAUCCAUUUGGUGAAUUUGUCCAUGGCGACAAGCAGAUGUGUCAUGCCGCCGCGCGCUGUCUUGAAUGAGCCCACCAUGUCCAGUCCCCAAACGGCGAAGGGCCAAGUGAGGGGAAUGGUCUUGAGUGCUGAAGCCGGCAUGUGUUGCUUGGAGCUGAAGAGUUGGCACCCUUUGCAAUGUUUAACUAACUCCUUGGCGUCAUCCAAAGCAGUCGGCCAAAAGAAACCAUGGCGGAAGGCUUUGGCGACGAGUGAUCUUGAGGCCGCAUGGUGGCCGCAUUCUCCUUGGUGGAUGUCUCUGAGGAUUGCAAUGCCCUUCUCUUGCUCGACGCAUCGCUGGAGGACUCCAGUGACACUGCGCUUGACGAGUUCUCUGUUGACGAUUGUGUAUGCUCCGGCUCGGCAUUGGACUUGUCUUGCCUCUACUUCGUCAGCCGGCAGAUCUUGGUUUAUUAGGAAGUUGAGGAUGGAUUGAGCCCAUGACGGAGCUGCAACUUCUUCUAAUGCCAAAACGGCUACUGCGACCAGGGCGGGCGGGCUGGGCGGUGAAAUGCUGGAGUCGGCCGCCGCCUGUUGUGUUUGUGUAGUCUCCGGGCCGACUACCGCAGUCCCUGAGCCAGGUGAGGCAGUCCCCGGGUCGGGCGUAACUACGGAAGUCUCCGAGCCGCCUGCUGAUACCCCCUGGCCGACUAUCGAAGUCCCCGGGCCACCUGCUUGGUUCUUCGAGCCGGACCCAGCCGCGUCGGGGUCAGGCGGCACGAAGAUGGAAUCGGACUCUGGAGACGGCUUGAUAGACGGCUUGAGGAGGCGUCGUAGAGAGACGCCGGUUGGUAUUGCUUGCCGAGUGGAGCCUAUUCGAGCCAGAGCAUCAGCUGGCUCGUUGUCGGCUCGCGGUACGUGGAGGAACUCGCAUCCUUCAAAAUACCCACUGAUCUGCUGAACGAGGAAGCGUUAGCUUGACAUAUUUGCGUCCUUGGCGUCCCAUUCGCCGGAUGAUUGCUGGACCACCAAGUCUGAGUCACCAUAACAUAGGAUCCGGCAAAUGUCGAGCUCUUUGGCAAGCCGGAGCCCGUGUAUGAGCACCUCGUACUCGGCUACAUUGUUGGAGGCGGCAAAGUGGAUUUGCAGCGUGUAUCUGAGCUUGUCACCUUUGGGAGAGGUGAGGACGAUGCCGGCUCCCAAGCCGGUGCGCAUUUUGGACCCAUCGAAGUGCAUGCGCCAAUGAGUGGAGUCGGGAGCCGACGACAGGUACUGGGUCUCGGCCCAGUCGACGAGGAAGUCGGCCAAUACUUGGGACUUGAUGGCGGUGCAAGGCUGGUAGAAGAUCGUAUAGGGGGCCAGCUCGAUGGCCCAUUUCGCCACCCGGACGGAUGCAUCCCGACUGCCUAUGAUCUCGGCCAGCGGGGCGGUGCAUACAACCGUGAUGGGAUGCUCUUGGAAGAAGGGCUUCAGCUUCUUAGCGGCGAAGUACACGCCGUAGCACAUCUUCUGGUAGUGCGGGUAGUUCUGCUUCGAGGUAGACAGCACCUCGCUCAAAUAGUACACCGGCCUCUAGACCGGCUGGGCUCGGCCUUCUUCUGGGCGUUGGACUACGAUGACGGUGCUGACCACCCGGCUGGUUGCGGCAAUGUAGAGGAGCAUGGGCUCUUUCUCGGUCGGCGCCGCCAGGACUGGCGGUGUGGCUAGCAUCUUCUUCAGCUCGUGGAAAGCUUGGUCAGCUUGGUCGUUCCACUCGAAGUGAGUGGUCUUCUUCAUGAGGCGGUAGAGGGGGAGAGCUUUCUCUCCGAGCCGGCUGAUGAAGCGGUUUAGGGAGGCCAAGCACCCGGUGAACUUCUGGAUGUCUUGAAGCUUGGUGGGAAUCGCCAUUCUCUCAAUGGCCUUGAUCUUUACUGGGUUGCAUUCGAUGCCGCGUUCGGAGACCAGGAAGCCUAGGAGCUGGCCGGCUGGUACUCCGAACACGCAUUUCUCGGGGUUAAGCUUGAGGCCCCGCUUGGAUUCGGUGUAAACUUAUACACCCGGAUUUAAUCUACAAGUGUAUUUUACCGGUCGCAGUGUUAUUUCCGCCUAGAUUGAAAACGACGGCUCGAGGUCUGUUUUGGUUACAAGUGUAUUUAGGAGCAAACCGACGAUCCAAGCGGGGCCUGAUUUGGAACCGGCGUAGGUUCUCAAAUGUUUCCUUGAGGUCUUCCAGCAAGGUACCACGCUUCUCCGUCUUCACCACAAUGUCGUCUACGUAGACGUGGGCAUUUCUACCGAGUUGCUUGAGGAGGCACUUCUGCAUGCAACGCUGAAAAGUGGCACCGGCAUUUCUCAAGCCGAAUGUCAUAGUCAGGUAGCAGAAGGCUCCGAAUGGCGUGAUGAAGGCGGUCUUCAGGCGGUCUGCCGGAUCUAACUUUAUCUGGUGAUACCCUGAGUAAGCAUCCAAGAAACUCAACAGCUCGCAUCCGGCCGUGGAGUCUAUCACUUGGUCAAUCCUUGGCAGAGCAAAGGGAUCUUUGGGGCAGGCCUUGUUGAGGCUCGUGUAGUCUAUACACAUGCGCCACUUGUUGUUCUUCUUUAGCAUGAGGACCGGGUUGGCGAGCCACUCUGGAAAGAAAACUUCCAUAACGAAGCCGGCUGCCAGAAGUCGGGCUAUCUCCUCUCCCACAAUCAUGCGUUUCUCCUCUGACAGUCGGCGGAGGGGUUGUUUGACUGGCUUUGCGUCUUCUCGGACGUGUAAUUUGUGCUCGGCGAAUUCCUUCGGAACGCCCGGCAUGUCCUUGGGGGACCAUGCAAAGAUGUCCCGAUUCUCACGGGGGAAAUCGGCGAGCUCGCCUUCCUAUUUGCUGUUCAGGUUUGCCCCAAUGACGGCAAACCUCUCUGGGUGCUCGGGGUCAAGAGGUAUCUUCUUCGUCUCCUUGGCCGGCUGGAAAGAUCCUUGAGCAUCAUGCUCCUUGGGAUCGGGGGACAAGGCCGACUGCUUGCCGGCUAUGGCUGCGACUCGGUCCAACAUCUUCUUUUCUUCGGCAAUCACAAGGGACUCGGCCAGCCGGCUGCUGGCUGCUGCGCACUCAGAGGACUUCUUGUAAUCGCCGGCUACGGUGAUGACGCCUUUGGUGCUUGGUAUCUUCAUCUUGAGGUAUGCAUAGUGGGGAACCGCCAUGAAUUUGGCCAAGGCAGGUCGGCCAAGCAAUGCAUGGUAAGGGCUCUCCAGGUCCACCACUUCAAACCAGAUCGCUUCCCGGCGGAAAUGCUCCUUGUCCCCCAAAAGUACAUCAAUCUUGAUCUCGCCAAUGGGGGCGCAGGACAGCCGGGUACGAUGCCAUGGAACAUUGUCCGAGUAGGCAUGAGUUGCCUCGUCUUGACGUUCAGCUUCUCCAGGGUGUCGCGGUACAAGAUGUUGAUGUUGUUCCCGUCGUCUAUAAACACACGGGAGAAGCGGGCGGCGCGUCUGUCCGUUGCAAGGAUGGCAUCCAGAACCAACGCAUAAGAGCCGGGAGACGGCAUCACCUCUGGGUGGUCGGCCCGGCUCCAGCUAAUAGGUUUUUUUACCAGUGCAUGUCAACCAUGCUGACUUCCUGGUUCUCUCGGCGUUUGCUGCGCCGGUCUUCGGGCUGGCUUGUAAAGACGAUAUAGGCGGCAUGCUCGUCGGGGAACUCAUCAUGCACGGCUCCGACUGCGGGCUGAGCGGCCGGCGGCGGCGGAAACGGAGGCGGCGGGCCGGCAGGCGGAGGCGGCGCGAGCCCUUCGCCUUUGGAGAUUCGGGUGAGCCAAUGGCACUUCCGGGUUGUGUGGUUGGACGGCUUCGCGCCGCUGUGGAACUUGCACGGGGCGUCGAGAGUUUGCUCGUAGGAGAAGGCCGGCUGCCAAGCCGGCCUGCCGCCCUUGGGUUUCUUGGGCGCGGGCCGCCCUUCGGGCGGCACGUCUUCGACUGUGGCCACCUGUCGACUGGCGGGAGGCGGCGCGGGGCCCUUGCGCUUGUGGUCGUUCGAGUGUGGGCGUCGGCCGGAAUCCCCAGCCGGCGUCUUGGCCGCCGGGUUGAGUACUUUUCCGGACGCGUCUACCCGGAUCUCGGUCUUCAUUGAGGAGUCGGCGGUGGCGUACUUGUCCACUAUGUCCAGAAGCUCGUCGAGGGUAGUCGGCUCGUCGCAGAGAAGCUUGUGCUUGAGGAGGGUGCCUUCUCGGCACCCGGCUGUGAAGUAUUCUAUGGCUUGCACCUCAUGCACCCCUUCGCAAGAGUUGCGGAGCUCGGCCCAACGCAUGAGGUAAUCGCGAGUUGACUCGGCGGGGCCUUGUACGCACAAGGAGAGCUGUCUGGGCUUGGGAGCCCGCUUGUAGGUACUGGUGAAAUUGCGGACGAAAGCUUCUGUGAAAUCUAGCCAGUUGUUGAUGCUGUGUGGUUUGAGGCUGUUGAGCCAGGUCCGCGUCGUGCCUUGCAGCAUGAGGGGCACGUACUUCACGGCAACGCGCCGGUUGCCGUUGGCUAUGCUAACCGCCAUGGAGUAGUCGAUCAACCAAUCUUCCGGCUUCACGGAGCCGUUGUAGUUGGGCGUGUCUCUUGGGAGCAAGAACCCUUUGGGGAAGGGCUCGUCGUGGAUGCGGGGGCCGAAGCAAGGCGGACCGACAUCGUCUUCUUCUUCCAGUGCCAGGGAUCGCGCCAGGCGGUCGAUCCGAUGGCGGGCGUCGUUUUCGCCGACUCCUUCACGGCGACCUAGUCGGCCGCUGAGAGUCGGAUGCGCCACAGGCGGAGGGGUGGGAUAUCUCUCUCCACGGGGCCGAGGCGGAGGCGGGUUGCCCCGCCACUCCACGGCCCGAGGAUGGCCUUCUGCGUCUCGCUCGAUGGAGAUCCGGGUUUGGCUUCGGCUGGCAGCCGGCUCUUUCUCGCACCGCGCACGGUCUCUACUCGCAGUCGGCGUCCGGGAAGUCGCGCCGUGAUCUCGGCGCGGGGGAGGGCUUUCCGCGUGGGCGUCGGCUUCAUGCCGCUGCGCGGCUGCAUCGAUCAGCUGCUGGAUGCGUCGGGUCAUGUGGGGGAGUUCUUCGGCCCCCAGUCCGUCUAGCUCGUCUACGGCCGCCUGGGCGGCGUGCAGGUUCUCGAGUGGAGUGGCGUAGACUGGGCGGUCGACUCCUAACGUGUCGGCAACGACAGCGCCGCGCUGUCUGACAACGCUGACCCGGCUGGGCCUGCUUGGGGGCGGCGUGCCAAAGGCGGCGCGGUCGGCCUCGCGUCAGUGGGCCUCAGCGAGGCGUCUCAUGGAAACCAACUUCCGGCCCUCCGCGAGGAGGGCGAGGCGGCGAGCCUCCAGUGCUUCAGCGUCGGCGUCGGCCGGGAGGGGGAUGGACAAGUCGUGGACCGCCGCGUGCGGGGCGUCGUGGGCGCUUUCGUCAGCAGCGCCGUCGUGGGCGAUGACCAUCACCUCGAUGGUGACAGCGCCGCAACCAUCGGCUCGGGGAAGCGGGUCGUUGUAGAUCGUGACGUUGGUGGGGAAGGUGUCGAAUGAGGCCGUGUCGAAGUCGACAGGCAUCGGAUCGGUGGAGCCAACCGACUCCAAGUCCACUGCAGGCUCGCUGGAGACAUGGAGCCGGCCGAGGAGGUUGACGAGGUGGUCGGUGCCCGCGUCGGAGGCGGGCUCGUCGAAGAUGAGGGUCUUGUCGAGGAGAUCAGCGAGGCUGCUCGCUGCGCAGGCGUUGGUGACGCCUUGCAGCGCGUCGUGGCAAGAGUCAUCGGGCGUGUCGGGCUGGCUACGCUCGCGGGGGAGGAAGAAGGUUCCCGUCCAGAACAGGUCUCCGGACGACGGUGCACCUGGCCCCACGGUGGGCGCCAAAUGUCGGGUGGUAGGUGCGACAUAUGCCAACGGGUGGCUUAUCGUUGUGGGAGCCAGUAAAACAUCGCCGGUGCCUGGAAACGGGAUGAGGCGAAGACAUGCACACCGGCGAAUCUUACCCAGCUUCGGGGUUCUCCGUGGAGAUAACACCCCUACUACUGCUCUGCGGGGUCUCCGCAUGAUCACUAGAUGAACAAGUAGCUACACGAUGCUCCUUGAGCUGUUUGGCGAGAGGAGGAAGAAGGGCUCUGCUUGCUCUCUUCUCCUCCCUACGUGGUGUCUAAAACUAGCAGGGAUCCAUCCUUUGCAUGGGUGUCCCGGAGGGUUUAUAUAGGCCUACCCCCCGGGGGUACAAUGGUAAUCCGGCUGGGCGCGGGGCCCAGCCGUCUGUGUCUUCGCUCUCCGGCUUCUGCGCCGGCUGCUGGGGCCCGCCGGCUGGUGGGUCCCGCCGGCUACCGGCUCCUUGGUCGACAGGCAGGCCCCACUGUCCAGGGCCUUGUCGGUGGCUGGUCACUGUUGCUCAAUCUUGGUGACGAGGGCUUCGCCGAGGUAAGCGUGGCUACAGUGCUGCCGUCCGGCGGGUGACCACUAUAGCCUCACCGCGUCUUGUCUCCUUAAUGGGGCGCCUCCUUCGAGGGAGUGGCAAGCUGGCGGGAGAGAGCCGGCUCCGUCUUGGGCCGACUGGGGGAGGCCAGGCCGCCUUCGGGUGUGCGCCGGAUGGGUCAUGGCCACCCGUACGGCGCACUGUGCCAGGCGCGCUCCGGGAUUCGGGGGUGGCAGGCUUCACUGUAGACACGCCCCGUCACAUCGCCGUUAGGUGGAUGCAGACUUCACGGGUACGGUCUUGACCGCUUUAUGGGAGCCGGCUCCUUGGAGUCGGCCUUCUCGCAGCCGGCUCCUCGGAGCCGGCCCUCCCGCGGAUUUCUUCAUGAGGGCUGAAGUCGGGCCGCCUUCCAAUAGCCGGCCUGGGAGACAGCCGGCCAGGGAAAGGCGGCCCCAUGUCUUAGUUUCUUGAGAGCCGAAUCGGCUCGUAAUUUUUUCAGAAAGGUCAGGGGGAGCCGGUUAGGCUACCCAUGAUCACUUACUCCGACAUCUAUGAUUUAUUUUUCUGUGCCAAGCGAUGAGGACAUGAGANNNNNNNNNNNNNNNNNNNNNNNNNNNNNNNNNNNNNNNNNNNNNNNNNNNNNNNNNNNNNNNNNNNNNNNNNNNNNNNNNNNNNNNNNNNNNNNNNNNNNNNNNNNNNNNNNNNNNNNNNNNNNNNNNNNNNNNNNNNNNNNNNNNNNNNNNNNNNNNNNNNNNNNNNNNNNNNNNNNNNNNNNNNNNNNNNNNNNNNNNNNNNNNNNNNNNNNNNNNNNNNNNNNNNNNNNNNNNNNNNNNNNNNNNNNNNNNNNNNNNNNNNNNNNNNNNNNNNNNNNNNNNNNNNNNNNNNNNNNNNNNNNNNNNNNNNNNNNNNNNNNNNNNNNNNNNNNNAUGUCUGACAUGCAACUUAACAUAGAUGGGCGGACGCUCUUCCUAGGUAUGGGGUCAAACUCGGAUGUUUUAGUUUUUAUGCACAACAUAUAUCCAGUUUGAACUUUAGCAUCUAUAUUCAUUCUCCAAAACUAUUGAAGGGUGAUACUAGUUAGACGAUCAAAUUUUGUGCCACACUUGAGGCGGCAUUGCUACACUUUUAUGAAACCGAUCUUGUCACAACCGUGGCCACACACCAAACAACGGUUAACUCGGUUAAACUUAUCUAAUUUGCGAUACGAUAUAGUGCGGCAAACUUAGUAUACCAACUAAACACGCCCUAAUAUGCGAAAACUGGCGGCAGCGGAAGCGUGAGACCGGAGUGACCGAUCUGAGGUUGCACUGGACUUGCAACCCGAUUUGGAUGAGCUUAUUCUUUUCCAUGUGUACGCAUGGGCAGGGCUGCUUUAAUUUGCCUUGUAGCGAAUCUGUCAAGAAGUUGGACAUUAGCACCAUAUCAGAAGUUCAACACCAGGUGUCACAUCGUAUCAGUCCUUGAAGUAUUCCAUCAAACGGGCAUGGGGGAAGCCACGCAAAAGAGAGAAAAAGAAAGACGGCAUGGGGGGAGGAUUCGAUGGAUGCCGUGUUGAGGCAUGAAAGCCGACGUGGUUGGCCGCGGGUUGCCAUUCGUCAGGGCCGAGGUGCAGCAUGACAGGAUGAUGCAUCCAUCCGCGACGGAUCAAGCAGCAAGCUAGAGAUCGAUGCCCGUGCGACCCGGCGGAGAGGCGCACGUAGUAGUAGGCCUACUUACGUACAUCUAGAUACAUUCUUUUUUUAUUCGUUUUGAUGACAAGUAUUUCCGGACGGAAGAAGUAGGUUGGUGGUACUAUAUCGGUAUAUAGUUGUCCUGGUGUCCCACGCGACAAAAGGAACGCGCUGGCGCCGCAGUGCAGCGGACCCGUUCGGUUGGGCCAGAUGAGGUGAUCCACCGUGCGCUUCUCCGAUGUUUCCCGCCGAUCAUUUCGAUCGGGAAAAUCAUUCCGUUUCCGCGUCGGUCGCGAGAACAGGGCGAUCGCGAGAUGAUCUAUGAUCGAUCAAUUUAUGGAGCAGUGCGAAGGUGAGGUGUGUGCGGCUAGGUGGCGUCCGGGUCACGCCCCGAUCGGUUUCGGACGCCGAGAGAAUGACCUGUCGAUCGGUCCUGGUCUCCGCAGGACGUGCACGUACAGGUCCGAAGGUCCCAGCAGGCUAAUGCAAACAAACCUAUGACGCGUCCAGUUAGACCAUUGUGAUCGUACGGAAGAUGGACGGCCAACUACUACCUCCGUUCCGAAUUACUUGCGCAAGUAUGGAUGUAUCUAAAUGUAUUUUAGUUCUAAAUACAUCCAUUUUCGCGACGAGUAAUUUGAAACGGAGGGGGUACCAAUUAGGGAGACGCGCGCGUUGAUUCGUGAGUGGAUGCAUCCUAGUAGGAGUACACGACGUGAGAAGCUUUGGUUGCUUGCGGUUAUAUGUGUGCAGAAGUUGAGCAUGUUGUGGCGGAGCUUCAACAUACUCCCUAUGUAAACUAAUAUCAGAGCGUUUAUAUCAUUAAAGUAGUGAUCUAAACGUUUUUAUAUUAGUUUACAGAGGGAGUACGAGAUUUGUAGAGGGACCUAAACAAGUUUUGAAUAGAAAUUGAGAAUGCUGAUCUUGAUAGAGUAUAAUGCCAAAUUCAGCCAAGAAUAGUCUAAAUAGUCUGACCCUAACUAAACUCGGCCACCGUGAGCACGAGUCAGAAUUGUAAUUCCUGCAAAAGUCAUCGAACCGUGAUCCCAGCUUGACAAGAUAUAGCUUCCCUAAAAUAUGAAAAGAACUUGCGAAGAUAGCAAGAUGGAUCAUGUCGCCCAAGUUUGUACACUAGUUUGGACGAGGCCGAUAUGGGCCGGUUGUUGGCUAGGAUGAUGGAUGGAGUGGGAGUGUAGGUCGCGAACAGUCGAAUGGGAUUUAGUUCCCUGCAAAAAAUAUAAGACGGGCUUUCUCAGGAAACAGAAGAAAUUUAUAAUGGUGAAAGUGCUAUAGAGAUCAAAUGCACCCGCCAUGGACAAUACAAAAAAAAGAAGUAAAACAACAACAAGAUUUGAUUUUUUUGGCAUCAAACAUUGUUGAAUCUUCGACAAUCGUGGAAAUUUCUGUGACGAAAAAAACAUUCAUAAUGCCCUUGAAAAAUGAAAUAAAACAAGUGUUACAAAAUGCUUUCAAAAGGAGUCUUUUUGGAGCAUUGAUGUUGAUUGUUUUUUCUUCACGAAAAUUUGCACGCAUGUACAACAUUCAGCAAUUUCUAUUGCCAAACAAUACCAGGUUGCUUGAAUUUAUUUACUGUUUUCUAUUUUACUAUUCACAAUUGUGCUGGAUUAGAAACUCCAUCUCUAGUAUAAUGGGCAUAAGGCUGCAGGCAACAGAAGCUCUUUCUGUCGCUGUUAGUUCUGGUGUGGACCUACUUCAUGUUCAGUCGAGGAAAAAAAUCUGAUGUGAGCACAUGCUCGUAAGUAAUAACACUCAUAUACGUGUAUGUUCUAAAAAAACCAGCUAUCUUUUUUAUUUGAAAAAUUCAUUAUAUCAAAAGAUUUUCAUGGAUGUUUUUUUGCAAAAUUAGAACCAUGGAUUAGAUUAAAAAUGCAAAUUUUAAAAAUGUUGACAUAUUUUUUAAAUGUCUGAAAUUGAAAUAAAGCAGCCCUGGAAGCUCCAAAUUUAGGGAGCUUAGUUUCAGAGUAAAAAUAAAGUUAACACAUUUAAAAAUGUUCACAAAUGUUAAAAAUAUUCUCGAAUGUAACACUCUUAUAGAAGGCUCCCCUAGCAGCCCCCACAGCUCCUGAUGCACAUCUCCAAAUCUAGGGAGCUUGGUAUUUAAAUAGACUUACGAUGCAAAAAAUAGAUGGUGCAAAAGUUUAAAAAAGUGUUUAUAAAAAUUUAAAAAUGUUUGUACCAUUUUUAAAAAUGGUCAUGCCAUUUGAAAAAUGUUCGCGUGUUUGAAACUGUUCAUGGAAUUUUUAGGAAAUGUCCAUGAAAUGUAAAAGUUUUGUUCGUUUAACUUCUGAUGAAAAAAUGUUCAUGACAUAUAAAAUGAACAUCGUAUAUUUAAAAAAAUAUUCUAAAUAUAUUUAAAAAAAUUUCAUUGUGUACUAAAAACUGAACUUAUAUUUUAAAAAUAUACAAACAUUUAAUUAGAAAAUGUUCAAAGACUAUUCAAAAAAUCCCAAGUGUAUUCAAGAAAUGUUCAACUUUUUUUACAAAUAAGUGUAUUCAAGAAAUGUUUAACUGUUAUUUAAGAAAAACUCUGGUGUAAUCAAGAAAUGUUCGUCAUGUAUUUAGAAAUUUACGAUUGUGUGUUUAGAAAUGGGAAAAGAAAGUCACAUGAAAAAGAAAAUGGAAAAAAUAAAAAAGUAUUAAACAUAUAACCAUUAAAAUAGACUAAAAAUCAGACCGAACAUUUCCAAAACCAGGCUCAAGGUUCCAAAAACCGCAUGAAACUGGCGAGUUGUCCGCUAUUGAGCAAUGACCCAUGUCGCAUCGCCAAAGGCGAGUGCUGUGUGUGCCUCACAGUUGGCGAGACAUACUAGCAUUUGCGGCAACGGGAUGCCUAGGAGAGCCUAGGAUUCGUCUUCCCUCUUUUCUGUUGCAGGUACCGUUGCUUCCGCUGCACCAGAUGUCCGAUUCUCGUGUCCAAUCUUGAAUGCUUACGAUCGGGUAGCAGCUAAGAGCAUCUCUAGACUCUAGCCGUUGGCCUUUCAGGCGGCGAUUUUACGCGCCCCCUGGGACGAGUCGGCGCUUAAAUCGGCGCGGGGCCGAGCGGAUUCCCAGCCGCUCGCCCCAGGGUCACCCCGGAUGCGUUUUUUUUAUUUUUAAAAAAGCUGAAUUCGGCGAAGUACGGCAAAGUUCAUCUAAAAUUCGGCAAACUUGAUAUUCAUAUUAAACAUGUUUGGCGUUUUACAUAAAUUAUUAAAAAAACUAAUCUAUGGGGCGAAGAACUCGAUCAGCGCGGCGAAGUCGCCGACGUCGCCGCCGUCCUCGUCGGCGGCGGCGGCCUUCUCCUACUUGGUGGCGCGGCCGCCCCUGUUGGACCCCUGCCCGACGUCUCCAUGGCGGACAGGCGGUGGCAACACGUCGCCGUCGUCGUCGUCGUCGCUGUCCUCGAGGACGACGAUGCCUCCCUUGUCCAUGCCACGGCGACGAGCUCCGAACCGCGUGAGGGCGGCGCACUGGCGCUCCUUCUGCGCCUGCAGCCAAUCGCCGCGCGCCCAUUUGAGGGCCGCCUCGUCGUCGAGCGCCUUCUCCUUGACGCCGCCGGCGAGCCCGGGCUCCGUCUUCACGACGGGAAGCCCUGGCUCUUUCUUCGGCUUGACGAGUCGGGGAGGGGCCGAGGACGAGGCGCGGCCGCCGCCUUCGUUGAUGACGAUGCCGGUCGGGCGGGUGCGCCGGCCGAGCGGGGUCUCCAUUGCGGGCUCGGCCUUGAUGCCGAACACCGCCGGAGAACCGGAGGAGUGGGAGGAGGAGUGGGAGAAGGAACGGGAUGAGGACGAUGAGCCGGAGAUGAACCUCCUUGGCAUCCAUUGCCCGGCGCCGCGGCGGGGCACCGGAGCGGUGGCCGGCCCUCGAGGGUAUGUGAGCGGUGGGUUGUUGCCGCCCUCGAGGUACGCGAGAACCUCGCGGAGUGUCCGGCCGGGGACGGACCACCACAGCCGUCGCCCCUCGCUGUUCCACCGGUCGCCCGCCACCACUGGUGCCCCGUUGAUUGAGGCGAAGCGUUGCUCUUGACGGCGCUGGAAGUACGCCGCCCACGCCUCGUGGUUGUCGGCGGCGUACUGCGGGGAGGUGCGCUGCUCCUCGGUCAGCGACGACCGAACGCGGUCGACCUCGCCGGCGAAGUGAUCGGGGCGUGCGACGACGUCCGGCAGGGGGGAUGGGGACGCCUCCGGCGCCGAGCCUCCAUCCUGUCAGCCCAGCGGGCAUGUCUGGAGGCGCCGAAAUGUUAGCCUCGAACAGUAGGUACGCCUCCCACGUCUGCAGCGAGCGGCGGCCAAAGCCGUUGGCCGCCGCUCCGUCACCGGGGAACCGCUCGCACAUUAUCGUGGAUGGGCUGGGAGAGAGGAGAGGUUCGUCGGCGGCGGAGAGAGAGAGAGAGGUUCGGCGGCGCUAGAGAGAGACAGGGAGCACAACGUCUGUGGCCAACGACGAGGGUGGGGCGACGUUUUUUAUAGCCGCCGGGGAGGCGUGUGUACGCGGGGCGGGGAGUGAGGCGGCGCCGCGCCGCCCGUGAAGAGCCGCCCCGUGAGGAAUCAAUGGAAGGCUAACCGGUGACAGCCUUGGCAUUGAUUCCCCGCGGGAAACUGAGGCGUUCGCGGAACGACGAGGCGAGUGUCGCUGACUCAGCGGGCCCGCGCCUUUUUCGCGUCAAAAACCGCGCCCCAGUGCGCCGGGUUCGGUCUGGAUCCGCCGGCGCCAAUUUCAGCCUGAGCCGGCGAAAAUUGGACUUCUGGGGACGCGACUGGGCCAAUUUUUAUGCGCCGGCGCAAAAAAGUCGUUUGGAGAAGGCGUCUUGGGGGCUCGACUGAAGAUGCUCUGAGGAUCACUUUUGGAGGGUUGGCAGCAUUGAAGCGCACGAGGGAUGGAUUUACCUGCAGCUACAGAUGGUUAGAUGGGUGAUGCGAAUCAACUUGUGGUUGAGUUGGUUAGGUGGAUAGUGGUAUCCUAACCCACCAGGGUUUAAAUCCUGGUGCUCGCAUUAUUCCUGGAUUUAUUUCAGGAUUUCCGGCGAUGCGUUUUCAGUGGAAGUAGACGUUUCCGUCGACGACGAGGCGCCUACGGUGACUUCGUAAAUCUCAAGAUGAUAUGCCGGCUCAGUCUCUCGGAGGUGCUCAUAGGGGUAGGGUGUGCGUGUGUGCGUUCAUAGGGGUGAGUGUAUGCGCGUGUAUAUGAGCGCUUGUGUCUGUACUGAUGCUAAAAAAAAGAUGGUUAGAUGGAUGAUGGUCACUGCUGUCAAAAAAAGAAAAGAUGGGUGAUGGUCGCGUACACAUCAGUACAGGCAGGGAGUAAAUUAAGUAGGUGUCAGAGACAAACAUCACGUUCCAACCGGCAACGGCCAUCCACCAAAUUAACCAAACACAACUACACUGAAGCGCAGGCAGGGAGGGCCACAUAACGAGUCGAGCAAUUCAAGCUAACUUACCUGCGCGACGUCGACUUGCAUUAACAAAACUAUAGGAAAACAAAUACCACGCCUGCUCUGAAUUACAAGAUGUUUUGGAUACUUCAGUAUGGGCUAUAUAAAAACUAAAAUGAGUAAACAAACACAUUAAAAUAAAGAGAGUUUUCUUUAUUCAUUGCUUUGAUUCAUCCUUGUUAUUUCUGUUUCAAUGGAAUUUUUGUUUAUAUGUUUCCCCCUAUGCAGAUGAGUUUUACAAUAUACUCCCUCUGUCCGAAAUUACUUGUCACAAAAAUGGUUAAAAAUGGAUGUAUCUAGAACUAAAUUAUGUCUAGAUACAUUCAUUUAUUCGACAAGUAUUUCUGAACGGAGGGAAUAACUCUAAAUCAUAUUAGAGCACCUACCUAGGAUAACUCAAUGAAUUACAAUCACGCUGAAGAGUAUCAGCAGGAAAAGGAGAAACGUAUCCUUGGCGCAGUGUCCCGUCGGUGGAGGUCCCUGUCUUGCUGAGGACAUCGCGGCCAACACCGAGGAUCAUAUGGUGUUUUAGUCCUGCGAAUUUAUGUCUUCUAAUCCAGCGGGUUGUCGUCCGGUACAAUGAAGAAGCGUCGGUACAGCAUCUUGGUUGUGUGACCUCACCACAAUGCAUCAAACGAUGUAACAUUCUUCUAUACUGAGAUGGGAGGUUCAUGGAGUGCCAAGUAAUGGUGCCCUUUAGUUUGAAAAAUGUAAAAAACAUAUUUAUAAGUUAAAAAAAUGGAGAUAAAUUCUGUGAAGACUUGUAUCUGUUCACUACGGAUCCAAGAUUUUUUUUAGAAAAAAUGUAUUUUUUAAGCUGUACAAAAAAACAAAUUCCAGCCCAAAAACAAAAAAGGGGUCAAUUUGAAAUUACACAUUUGUCUUUUCUUUGUACGCCACAUGUGAAAGUAAAAUUUAUUAAAUUUGGCACAUACAUAAUACACGUGUGUGUGU
Molecule: long non-coding RNA, 56095 nt
Filed under: Triticum aestivum (bread wheat)
Lineage: Eukaryota; Viridiplantae; Streptophyta; Magnoliopsida; Poales; Poaceae
Description: long non-coding RNA (TAES_LNC020983)
Rfam family: MIR1120/MIR1122 microRNA precursor family (bases 55381-55505)
Source: RNAcentral